UGUGACUAACUCUAGAUAAGGAGGAAUUCUACACUGUCACACUUGCACCACGUCAUCAAUAACAAGCCAAUCACAUUCCUUCUUUUCAAACAAAAGUACAAUAAAAAUAUAUUUUUACAACCAUGAUGGGACAUAUAUUCUUAAAAGGAUUAAUUUGAUUGGUUUGUUACGUCACGUCACUGAUAUACCCGUUGCAUUCUAGAAUUUUUCCUAGAUAAGGGUGUAAGGUCUCGACCCAAAACGGACUAGAAGCCAGCCUGGCCCAGCUUUAAAUUCGGGUCGGGCCUGUCGCUCCGGCUGGUCCAGGCCUCUCGCCCGGAGAACACUGUCCGUGCCGAGCUGAGCCAUGCUCCGAGACGGCCCCUUACUUUUUUUUUCAAAAAUAUAUAAAAUUUAAAAAUAUGAAAGAUUAAACCGGUCCUAUUUAAACUGAUAUUAUGAUUAAAAAUAUUUAAAAUUUACAAUAAUUAUUAUAAAAUAACAAAAAUUUUAAGUUGUUUAUAAAAAAAGGUGAAUUGGGUUCCUGGGACCAAAACCCACUCUUCCUUAUGUAUGGAGCAUUGGUAUGCACCAGGUGCAAGUAAACAAUUUCUCCUCUUUUAAAAUUGUAAGUACAUCCUAUUAAAUAUUCUUGAUACAAAGUAUACACUAUACAACAUUGUACUACAUUCCAUAAUGGUUUAAUUACAACUUUUCAUAAUGGCUUAACUACACUAUACUAUAUUGUACUUUAGUGUUAUCUUUUUUUUGUUAUAUUGUACUAUUUUUUUUUUUUUUCAAAAGCCUCUAUAUUUACCAAAAUCACCAUGUGGUUAUUAGUCUAUAUUUGCUGACGUGGCAAAUAUUGUUUGGUGCUGAAGUGGUAGCUUUUUUUUGUUAGAGUUAAGGAACUUUUUGAUAGUAGAUAAUUAAUUGAAAUAAAUGGUGAAAGUCAGGGACUUGAUUGAAAAAAUCGUACGCUUGGAGACAAAAGUAUGAAAAUUUGAGUAAAAAGUUGGGGACCAAUGGUUGAAUUAGUUUAAUCUAUACUAUAUCUAUAGCUAUACUAUAUAUAAAAUCAUACAAAAAAUUUUACAAUAAUAGACUGAAUUGGAAAAGGAAUAAAAGAAUAUGCCCUGCGAAUGGUUAUAAUCAAUUUAUUAAAAAAAUUUUAAGAAACAAUGAUCGGUUAUGAUCAAUCUGUUAAAAAAUAGCAUUUCUAUCCAUCUAUAAAUCCAAUCAUAUGAGCGGUUAUAAUUAAUUUGUUAAAACAUAUCUCAACAGAAAUGAAUGGUUAUGAUCAAUCUGUUAAAAAAUAACAUUCCUAUUCAUCUAUUUUAAAUUAAAAUUAAAAUUUGAAUUUAAAUCGUGAAUCAAAUUUAAUUUUGGAUAUCAAAUUUGAAUUAACAAUUAAAAAAUUUUAAUUACAGUGGAUCAAAAUUAAAUUUUAGAUUUUAAAGUAAAUGUGAAUUAAAUUUGAUUUUUUUAGUUUAAAACACAUGCUUAAAUUGUAGAUUCAUCAUAAUUCAAAAAUAUAUAAAAGUAUUCAAUGUGUAUGAAAAAAAAGAAAAAUACAAGAUAUUGCAGAUAUCUUCUAAUAAAAUAUUACAUAUAAAUUUAUAAAAUAUAUUUUUUAUUGCAAGUUUUUAAAAUAUAUAAAAAUAUUCAAUGUAAAUAAAAAAAUAAUAUAGAAUAUUAAAAAUUGUAAGUUUUUAAAAUAUAUGAAAAUAUUCAAUGUAUAUAAAAAAUAAUAUAGAGUAUCGUAGAUAUCUUCUAAUAAAAUAUAACAUAUAAAUUUAUGAAGUAUAAUUUUUAUUGUAGAUUUUUGGAUAAAUCUAAUGUACAAAUUUAUAUUGAUUUCAAAUAAAUUAAAAUAAUUGUUACAUAUAUGUGCACGUACGCUCAGCUAGUAUAUAUAAAAACAAAUAGAAAAUUUAACGAUAACAGUCCGAAUCAAAAAGAGAGAAUAAAAAAAAUAUUUUAUCUAUAUUUUAAAAAAAGAAUAAUAUCUAAUAUGUCUUUCAAAACUUUAAAAUAUCUUAUUUAAAUCCUAUCGGACCAUAAUAGCCUUGUUGAUUUUAAAAAAUUUCCACUAAUGAGAAUGGGUUUUUGAAAUAUAAUUUCAUAAUUUCAGAAUAAAUUUAAAAAUUUGAAUAAUAGUCAGGGGUAAAUAAUCAAAAGCUUCUAGAAACACACCAUAUUCCAUAUAUAUUACAAAAAAAAAAACCAUCAGAUACCUAGCUACCAUAUGUACUAUACCAUUUGAUACAUGUAUGGAUACAGUCCAACUGAAUGUAAGUUAAUUUAAAUUCUUCCAAUCAUGGAAUUAAAGUGCUUACAAUCCUGCAACUUGUUCAUCUUGCAAAUAUAACGCACAUUGCACGUGCACUAUAACUAGUUCUAAAUGAAUAGUAAGAGUAAUUUUAUUCUUGUUCUCUUUUUUUAUAAGAACCAGUGGUUCUACAAUUCCACAGGCGAAAUUAAAUUAAAAAAAGUACAUAUCCUGCUAACAGCAAAUUUAUGAGAACACAAACUUCAAAAUCCAUUUCCACUAGCACACAAUAGAAUACAUAUACCAGUAUUUAUUUAUACAUAAUUCUUCAACUUCUACUAUAUAAUCUUAGCGCCUCUCAGUUGCGAGCAAGAAACCUAUAAUACAUCUUAUCGAUCAUGAAAAAGUAAGUAUUUCUCCACGUAGAUUUGAAGAGCAAGAUACCAUAAACAGCCCAAAGCCCCACCAAAAAUCCCAAUCCCAUGCCGAGAUAAAUUUCUAUGUUCUUCACGCCACCACUAUGUUUCUUCUCAGGAGUAUAUGUUAUUUCAUUUCCAAAGCAAGUCUUCGAAAUAGGGGGACCACAAAGAUAGGGAUUGCCGGCAUAUAUAGUUGGAUCAACCAGUGUCUGCAUUUGAUCUCCAGAUGGAAUCCUUCCUGAGAGGUUAUUGUAUGAUAAAUUUAAGCUGCUCAAAGAUGUCAAGGCCGUUAUACUUUGAGGGAUGGUUCCAUUUAAUUCAUUCAUAGAAAGAUCGAGAGACUCCAAAGAUUGUAAGUUUCCUAUCUUAUCAGGAAUCCUUUCCUUUAAGUGAUUUCUUGAUAAGUUCAAAUUGCUCAGCGCUGAUAGAUCGACUAAUUCCUCAGGAAUCACACCACAAAGGUUAUUACCUGAGAGGUCCAUGCUCGCCUCAAGAUAGAGGUUCUUGAAAAAUUGAAGAUCCAACCCUUUUCUUGCAAUAUAUACUUUUUCACUGGUAGAAUUUGGAUACAGCAGGUAGUCUAAUGAACUUUCAUCUCUUAUUAUAGGUGUUGGAAAACUAAAAUCCAAAAGAAAAAGUGUUUGAACCGUGUAUUUAGCUAACUUGGUUGAAGCCACUGCAGAGAAAUUACCAAAUGAUUGGGGUAUGUAUCCUGAUAAAUUAUUCCAAGAAAGAUCUAAGAUUUGAAGAUUCUCAAGUUGCCCGAGCUCUGCAGGAAUGUUGCCGACAAACAUAUUGGACAUCAACCGCAGUAUUGUAAGCUCUGUUAACUUUCCUAGCCACGUAGGAAUCUUGCCCGAUAACUUGUUUUUCCCAAGAUCAAUGAAUACUAAUGAGCAAUACUGUAGAGAAGAAGGAAGCUCUCCAUAUAUGGUGUUGUUGUUCAAGUGCAAGAACUCAAGAUUACUAACAGAGCCCAAUGAAUCUGGAAGUUGUCCUGAUAGCUUGUUAUUGGAUAAGUUUAUAAAAGUCAAACUAUUUGAUGCACCAUUCCAGCAAUUUGGCAGUUUACCAAAUAAAUUGUUGUUCGACAUGUCAAGUAUGGACAAAGAUUGCAUGUUGCAUAUAUAUGAUGGAAUGUUACCACUUAUGGAGUUGUUCGAGAGAAGAACGAUUGCAAGAUUUGGCCUGAAGAAAGACCUUGGAAGUGAUCCAGAAAACAUAUUGUUUGAGAAAUCAAGCCAUAUCAAAGAAUCAGACAGAAAUGGUAAGAAUCCAUGUAAAUGGUUAGAACCUAAAUUUAACACCUUAAAUGAUGUCAUAUUUUCUAAGGAAGAUGGCAACAUGCCGCUAAUUUGGUUAUUGGAAAGGUGUAAGAUCACGAUAGAUGAAGAUGUGUUCCAAAACCAAUAAGGAAUAGUGUCUGCGAUCCCGCUGUCCGACAAAUCUAAGAGUUCAAUCUCUUGUUGCAAUUGGAGCCAUCUUGGAAAUCGUGGACCCAAUCGACAUGAGCUCAAAACUAAUUCUUGCACUUGAAAAGGAGGCACCCAAUUAUCCUCCACCCUCACCUCAAGAGAUGUACUACUCACCGAUAUAAACUUUAAUCUUGUGAAGUUCAUAAGAUGAGUUUCAUGUAAAACCCCAGUAAACGAAUUUCCACGGAGAUUAAGCAAAGUUAGAUUAGAUAGUUUAUUUAUCCCUAUAGGUAUCGAACCAUUGAGGAAGUUAUUGCUGACAUCGAGAUAUAUAAGACUUGUCAUAUGUUCGAGCCAGCCAGACAAAUUUCCCUUUAUAUUUGUAUUAUGUAAAUACAAUAUUUGGCAAUUAUUAGGAGAGACGCAAGAGAGUUCUGACAAAAAUUCGUUUAUAUCUUUAUCAACAUUAUAUCCGGACAAACUUAAAGUGUUUAAUUUGCAAAGGUUUUGGAUUGAAUUUAGUACCGGGCCGACCAAGUUGUUGAAUCCUAAAAACAAGGAAGUAAGUGAAGUCAAUUUGCCUAAUUCAAUAGGAAUUGGACCAUAAAAAUCGUUAUUAUUGAGAUUGAGAUAAGUUAGGCUAGUGAAGUUCCACAGCCAAUCGGGCAAGGUGGAGUUGAAGAAGCUAUGUUGGAGAUCAAGUAUGCUCAAACUUGUUAAGUUAAAAUUGGAAAUGGGGUCAGGAUUGCUCGGAAGAGCGCACCUCACUAAGCAAAGCACUUGCAAUGAAGAUAGCAUGUUCACUGCUUGUAACCAAUCAUUUGCAUUUUGUAGCAUCACAGAGGUCAAGUCAAGGUACUUUAGAGAAGAGAGACCUUUGAUCCACGAUAGUUUGCCAUGAGAGGUAGUACUAUAGUAAUUGUACAUAUAACUAAGGUCGAGAUAACGAAGAGUUGACAAGUUUCCAAGUUCAGGAGGUAUCGCUCCAGUAAAACCCGCAUUAGAGAGGUUAAGAUAUCUCAAGUUCUUAUAUGAAGUGAUGAAAUUAGGGAAACUGGUAUUGAAGUUAUUCAUGCUGAGAUCUAAGUGCUUCAAGUGGCUUAAAGAUAGCAAUGAUGGAUUGACCUCACCACCAAAACCUCUGUAGCUUCUAUUUGAGGAAGUUGCACAAGGGAAUCCGAGUUUGAGCUUCUCAACUCUGCUAGUCUUAUUGUUGCACCAAACUCCCUUCCAUCUGCAGCAGUCAGAGCCUUCCCAAGAAGACAAGCAGUUUAGUGGAUCGAUGACACCGGACUUGAAUGCGAGAAGCGCCUCGCGCUCUACACUGAGGCAUCCGUAGCUCUCCAAGAUUUGGGUUUUUAGAAGGCAAACCACGAAUAAUAUUACAAAAAGUUGCAUGCUUGUAGUUUCAAACCUCAUGCUUCAAGCACCAGAAGCUCUCAAUAGGAAGGUAUAUAAAAUUACUGGCUCAAACUAUGUAUAUAUAGUUGCUGUACAUUAUAGAUUGGUCAAAUUUUGAAUGGAAUCUUAGGGCCAAUUUGGUCCUAUUGCAGGUUGUAGUUUGCUGGAUGAAGUACUAUAUAAGUAGCACUUUUAGAAGAAUUAUUGUAUUAAAAUUCUGUCGAUAGUUUCUAUUUACAGUAGAAUUAGAAAUACCAAGUUACAACUUUUGCUGCUAGCCUCAAAAAUUUGUUUCUGAAUAUAAAGUCUCACAUUAGAUGGGAAUGAAGGUAUGACUAAAAAUAUAAAAGCUCAUGGAUAAUAAUAAUAGUAACUGGGCUUACAUUUUGGACCGAUUGUUUGGAUCCAACGAAUUAUUAACGCUAACGAUCGGAUCUUACAAUAAUAUAAAAAUAAGAUCUAAAAGGAAAAAAAAAAAUCUUCUAAUAUACGUGGACUGCAGAGUUAGAGGUGACCGCAAAAGCAUCUCCUUUGACCAAAUUACUUGUUACGGGACAAAAUUAAUUAACUUCAUAUAUGUUGAAUUCCAAGCCAUGACAAUGAUCCAAAAACUAAUCUUUUACGCGUAUCGUGAAAUACCCGAAAUAUAAUUGAUGAGUCUUUUUUACAUAUAAAUAAUUGUUAGUUACUAGUUUGGCUCCGAAGCCUCCCCGCGUUUGGCGGGGCUUCGGUGGGACCCUUCACACCCCGCACCUCCCCCGCCCCCCACCCCCCCGGCUCUCUCCCUCUCUCCUCCCUUUCCCCCCACCCCCUCCCCUCCCCUCCCCUCCACUGCUCUCUCUCGUGCUCGGCGCGCGAGCGGGUAGGAGAGGGGCGCUCGCGGGAGCGAGGGCGUCCCUCCCCUCCCCCUCUUCUCCACUGCUCUCUCUCGUGCUCUGCGCGCGAGCGGNCCCCCUCCCCUCCCCUCCCCUCCACUGCUCUCUCUCGUGCUCGGCGCGCGAGCGGGUAGGAGAGGGGCGCUCGCGGGAGCGAGGGCGCCCCUCCCCUCCCCCUCUUCUCCACUGCUCUCUCUCGUGCUCUGCGCGCGAGCGGGUAGGAGCGGGGCGCGGGCGCGGGGCGCUCGCGGGAGCGAGGGCGGAGGCGCAGGCGCUGGUGCGUGGGCGCUGGCGCGGCGCGGGAUGCGGGCACAGCGCGGGGCAAGCAAUGGCGCGCGACGCGCGUGGGUCCGAGAGCAUAUUUGAAAAGACAAAUUAGUAAUUUCACAGAGAUAACGACUACUCUUAAUAAUUCAUUAAUAAAAUAGAAUUUAGUUCUAUGGAUAUAUUUAAGGCUUUUUUUGUAUUUAGCCCCCUUAAAAAAAAUUUUAUAAAUAGUCCCACAAAAUUUAUAUUUGUAAGAUUAGCCAUAUCCCCAUCACGUAAUCGCCAUGUAGGCAUGACGGUAAAUUAAGUUGAAUACGGUAAACCAUUCAUCGUGUUUAGAUGCGAUGAUCAUUACGUCCUUUCUAAAUCCUAAAUCUCAAAUAUUAUGUAAUAUCAUGGUGGAAAAAUAAUAGAAUACGGUGAAUCAUUCAUUGUAUCCGUAUUCAACUUAGGCUUUGUUUGGGAUUACGGGGAGAUUGCGUUACGUGGAAAAUACGUUGGAAAAAUACAAUAUUUGUUUCCGUAGGUAAUAUUGCGUUCCGCAUAUUGCGAUGAGCCGGUUACGAUAUAUUUUCUGCGGUCUCACUGGAGAACGCAGAAGCAUAUCUCUAUAUUCUUUUUCCUCAAUUCCAUUUUAUCUAAUAGAGUUAGAUAGACCUCGAUACCAAACUAAGUCUUAACCUAUGCCGUCAUCCACGUUGGCGUGGCGCUUACGUGGCGGGAAUAGGACUAAUCUUGUAAAUUUUAAAUUUUGUGAGAUUAUUUAUAGAAUUUUUUUUAAGGGAGCUAAGUGCGAAAAAAGCCUAUAUAUUUAAAAUAACCUGAAAUAUUAAAAAAAAUAUUUUUAAUAUUAAUCUUCUAAGAACGGUAAAUAAAAAAAAUUAAAAACUUUUCAUAGAUAUAUAAAUAAUUGUCCCUUUUUAAGAUGCACCCUUCAUGAUUGUUAAAUUUGCUAACAUUUCUUUAUACUAAUUGGGAACGACGCAUCUCAUAAAUAUUUUUUCAGGAUAUAGGAACCUACAUAUGGAUGGAAUUAAAGUUAGAUAAAACGAAAAAAAAAGGUUUUUUUUUUAAAAAAAGAAUUUCCAAUAUCUAUGGACCGUGAACUGGUUGCAGUGUCAUGCACGUUUCCUCUGAUCCUAAUUUUUCCAGGAGCAGGUGAUCUUGAAAGCGUCUACUUUGAUCAAAUUGCUUAUCAUGGAAUAAGUUAAUUAUGUGGAAUUCCAAUGCAUGACAAUGAUCCAAAAGAGUGUUGCUUUCGGCGCAUUAAAGAUUUAGUGCCGUGCCACCGGGUCGUGUCGAAAAUUUGCAGGCACGAUACGGCACUGGAUCGUGCCCCAAACUUGUCAGAUCGUGCUAAUGCAUGCUAAUAAAAAAAAUAUAUAUAUGCCGAUAUAUAAUGGCAUGAAUAUUUAUUUUUUUAGUAAUAAUAGGUUAUAAUUGCUUGUUUUGUAUUUUUUAUCAAAUAUUUUGAAGUUUGUUGAGAAAAGUACUUACUAAUUUUUUUAAAAAGGAGAGUUUUGAACUAUACUAUCGGCAUAAAGGCUGUAUCGACACGGUGGAUACCACUCUUACCGAUGGGCACUUAAAUCAUUGACGUGCAUCAUCGUAAAAUACCUAAAAUACAGUUGAUGAAUUUGAUUUACAUAAAAUAGUAGUCAGAUCACUGGUUAGGCUUUUUCGUGAAACUAUGGUUUUGCUUGCUUAGUUGUGAAGCAAUUUGCAGUUUCUUUUCUAUGUUGUUCUUUCUAAUCAUCUCUCUCUUUAUUUGAACAUCAAAAAUCGUCAUAUAUUCUUUUCUUUUUUUUCGAGAGAGAGAUAGGUAGUAUAUUACCCGCUUCGUUUAUUUUUUUAGAAAUAAACUUAGCUGGAAAUGUGAAUCAACUAGGAUUCGAUCUUGAGACCUUGGGUACCAACCACCAAGCCCUCUGUUACUUGCGCCAGGGACAGACAGCAAAUCGUCAUAUAUUCUAAAUUAAGGAAAAAAUGGUUUGGCAUUUUAAAGUUGAUUUCUGCAAAGACGUUGUAGGAGUCAUGUUUUAUUAGAUUGAUUUGAUAGAUAACAUGGUAUAAGCAAGAACUAGUCGUAGGCCCGCGUAGAAUCUCAAUCCAUAUCUGUGGGUAUCCGUAAAUUUGCAGGUGUGGAUACUAUUUUUUUCUAUCCAAAAAAUUAUGAAUAAAAUGAAUGGAAACCCAUUAACUUGUGAGCAUUUUGGGUAAAUCGCGGUUAUCCGCGGAUAUCCACGUAUAUAUAUAUAUAUAUAUAUAUAUAUUUUUUUUUUUAUAUAUAUAUAUAUAUAUAUAUAUAUAUANAAAUAGUUAGAAACAGUUUCUGUCAAAAAAAAAGGAAAAAGAAAAAAGAAAAAAAAGAGAGAGUUAGAAACAGUUAAGUGAUUGGUAUUUAUUUGUCUUUUACAUUAUAAAAUUUAUUCGCUUUAAAAACUUCUUUUUUUUUCUUGAGAGAUAGAUAGCACGCUACCCGUUUCGUUUAUUUCAUUUGGAAAUAAAAUUAGCUAGAAAUGUGAAUAAACUAGAAUUCGAACUUGAGACCUCGGAUACCAACCACCAAACCUUUUGCCACUUGACUUUAAAUAUUGUUUAAGACUUUAAAUAUUUUUAUUAUAUGUUGUGAUAUUUUAAAUAAUAAAUUAUUUUACGUUUUUAAAAAUUAUAUAUGUGUUUUGCAUUUAUAAGUAUAUGAGCAAAAAAAAAAAAAAAAAAAAAAUUUAUAGAUAACUCGCAUACCCGCCCGUCCACCGGCAGGUGGAUAUGGGUAAACAUAUAUAUUGGCCACCCCAAAAAUUGCAAGUAAAUCUUAUUCAUUCCCAAAUAAUCCGCGAGUCACCUAAUCCGCUUGUUCGUUACGUCUACGUAAUGUUGCGGAUUCAAUUCCUUUCAUCCAUUGUUUAAUAGUUUGAAUCUCCGUUCAGAAGAUAAUGGAUUAAAUUCUCUCGACAUAAAUGCAGUGGUGGAUCCAGCUCAACCCAAUUGACCCUACUCAAAUAGCCAAAAGCCAAGUUGACCCGACUUUGGGGUCAAGGUCGACCCCAAAGUGAGAUCGGCAAAUUCGUAAUUCUCGUGGGCCCUCGUGGUAGUGGGCCCAUGAGAAGGCAUGGGAGGAUAAUCUAUAAUCUAUAAUCUUCUAUAAACAUAUAUGAAUCCUUAAUAUAUUUGCCAUGUGGCAAUUGUUCCUUCACCCUCACUAGUCUUUCUUUUGAACCGUUCCUCUUCUUUCAUCCGAGCCAAAUUGUUCUCUGAACCGCUCUUUUCCUGUUCUCUAAUCCGAACCACGUCCUAACAUCUGAACCAAACUGCUUUUGAACCAACCAAUCGCUUUUGAGCCGAACCAUCUUUCUAAGCCGUCCUCCUAACAUCUGAACUGAACCGCUCCCUAUCUAUGAACCACCCUCUCUUUCUCUCUCCUUUUCAGUUAUUGCAUGACGGAGCGUUUCCACUCCCCUCUCCUCCGUGUUGUUCCUUCUUCCCCCUUCGCUGCAGCAUUUUCUCUUCCCUCUCUGUGGUAUCGCCGUUUCGAUUGAUGGGUCAUUUCCUUUCCCCUCUUCGCAUCUAAGGUUUUUCUUUGUAUCAAUCUCUUCAGAUUUGUGUGCGGAUGGAGGGGGUAAGAUUGGGAACCCUAACCCUAAUUUUUCUUUUAUUUUUUUAAUCCCGAAUUAUUGUUAUGUAUCCAUCUAGGAUUUGAUCUAUUUGCAUUAUUUGGAUUAAUUUUUAGGUUAAUUUGAUUUCAUGUGGUUGUUCUGGUCGUGGUUGUGGAGUUUUUAUUUCUUUUACUUUUCUUUUUCUUAUGUGUGGAUUUACUAAAUUUGAUUUUAGGGGGUUGUGGAGAUGUUUGAGAGAGGGUUGCAUAGACACAGAUUCGCCUUUGUAGAGGGCUCACCAUAGACGGAUGCUCCUGCGAUGUGAGCCCACAUCGGCGUCCUCCCUUGCCAGAGUCCUAAAUUUCCCUGUCGAGGCCUCUCCAAACGUAAAGGUUUGGAUUCCGAGGGUGUAAGAUUUGCAUCCUAUAAAAGUUGUGCAUAUAGCAUUUUCCUUAAAAUCAUAGGCCAUUUGAUUUUGUAUUGUUGGGUUAUACUGAAAGGCCAUGAAGUGUUUGGUAAUUUACUAUCAUAUGAUCUUAAGCUAAGCAUUUUUGUCACUAAUGAUUACACUAACAAUAUUUUAUAAAGAUUUAUUAUUAUAAUGUCUUUGAACUGUAGUUGAAUGUCCUAAUAAAAGUUUGUGAAUGUAGAGAAAUUUUGAGAAUGUCCUCUGUGUGAUUCUUUUUUCUCUUUUUUUGAGUCAUUUAUAUUUUACUACUCUUAGUAUGCAAGCAACAAGACCCAAUUAAUUGUGAGCACACAUUAUCUAUAGAAGUUUCCUUCAGAGGAGAAGAUUCCACUAUCUAUGUGAUCGUGGAUGUGUUUUACUGCUCAUCAUCGAAAGUGAAUCAAUAAUCUUAGAAUGUGUUAAAUUUUUUUGUUGUGCCCAGCUUUUGCAGCGCGCACAAAUCAACAAGUGGGAUGCAUCGCCAAGCCAAACAAAGCCUAAACCACACAUCAUAAUAUAUUUGUAUUCAGCCCUGCGAAAGUGUAUUUUCUUAUAUAUAGACAUUUUCUUAUCUUACGUUGGAAAAGUUUUGCACAUCAUACUUAGGUAUAGGUAGAUAAUUCUAUACGGUUAUAUAAUAAAAUCUCUUUAUAUAUAUAUUCUUCUGUUUCCAUCAGUUAAAAUUUGCUCUUCAAGUUAUUAUGAAUUUUUUUAUCUUUUUUUUGUCUUUAUUUGAAUACAAGGUCAAUUACUUAUGGCAGUCUCAAAAACAGUUGAAAAUAAGUUAAUUUUAUAUUUUAAGCUUAUUUUCUCUGCAUGUUGGAGAGUGCUAUACGAAUGCUUACAAUAAAAGUCAUCUUGAACUCAAAAAAGAGAGAGCGAAAAUAUAUAAGGUUUUAUUAACAAUACAAAUCAAUCUUUUCUGAGAGAAGUAAAUGAUCUAAAUUCUCUUCCGGCUAAUCUGGCAAAUACGAAAAGAAUAUUAAAUACUAUUCAAACAUUCAGAUCUACCACUAAAUAGUAAUAUUUUCUCUACAUCGUAUUGAUCUUACUAUGAAAAUUUCUAAAUUCACUACUAUAUAUAUAUAUAUAUAUAUAUAUAUAUAUAUANUUUUACGAUAAUAGGCCGAAUCAAAAGGAGAAUAAAAGAAUAUUUUAUCUAUAUUUUUUAAAAAAAGAACAAUAUCUAAUAUAUCUUUUAAAAUUUUAAAAGUAUCUUAUUUAUUUCAGUAGGACCAAAAUAGCUUGUUGAUUUUAAAAAACUUCAACUAAUGAGGUUGGGUUUUUGAAAGAUAAUUUGAUAAUCUCAGAAUAAGUUUAAAAAUUUGAAUAGUAGAUUGGAGUAAAUAAGAUACUUUUCCAACAAAAACACCAUUUAAUACAUAUCCCAUACGUAUUAAAAAAAAAAAAAAAAAAACCAUUUGAUACCUACCAUACGAUUUGAUAACAUAUAUACCAAUCUCUUUUAAGGGCUUCCAUGCACGAACCUUCCAUACCAUUCGAUACAUGUAUGGAUACAAUCCAACUGAAUGAACGUCAAUUUAAAUUCUUCCAGUCAUGGAAUAUUUAAAGUGCUUACAAUCCCACAACAUGUUCAUCUUGCAAAUAUAACAUGCAUUACACAUGUACUAGAACUAAUUCUAAUUAAAUUUAAAAAGAAUAAUAAGAGCAAUUUUAUUUUUGUUCUUUUUUAUAUAAGAACCAAUGGUACUACAAUUCCACAUGUAUAAGAGUUAAGGUAGUAUUAUGCAUGCAAAAUUAAAUUAAAAAAAAAGCAUAUCCUGCUAACAGUAAAUUUAUGAGAACAAAAGCUUCAAAAUCCAUUUCCACUAGCACGCAAUAGAAUACAUAUACUAGUGUUUAUUUAUACAAAAUUCUUCAACUUCUAUUAUAUAUAAUCUUAGCGCCUCUCAGUUGCCAGCAAAAAAUCUAUAAUACAUCUUAUCGAUCAUGUAGAAGUAAGUAUUUCUCCAGCUAGAUUUGAAGAGCAAGAUACCAUAAACAACCCAAAGCCCCACCAAAAAUCCCAAUCCCAUACCAAGAUAAAUUUCUAUAUUCUUCGAGCCACCACUGUGUUUCUUCUCAUCAGGAGUAUAUGUUGGUUCAUAUCCAGAGCAAUUCUUUGAAAUGGGGGGACCGCAAAGAAAGGGAUUGCCAGCAUAUAUAGUAGGAUCAACCAGUGUCUGCAUUUGAUCUCCAGAUGGAAUCCUUCCUGAGAGGUUAUUGUAUGAUAAAUUCAAGCUGCUCAAAAAUAGCAAGGCCGUUAUACUCUCGGGGAUGGUUCCAUUUAAUUCAUUCAUAGAAAGAUCGAGAGACUCCAAAUAAUGUAAGUUUCCUAUCUUAUUAGGAAUCCUUCCCGUUAAGUGAUUUCUUGAUAAGUUUAAAUUGUUCAGUGCUGACAGAUCGACUAGUUCCUCAGGGAUCGCACCAUGAAGGUUGUUACCUGAGAGGUCUAUGCUCUUCUCGAAGAACAGAUUCUUGGAAAAUUGAAGAUUUGACCCUUUUGUUGCAAUGUAUAAUCUUUGGUCAGUAUAGCUUUGAGACACAUCGGAUGUGAAUGAAGUUUCGAAGCUUGUUGGCCUUAUAAAGUCAACAUAGAGAGUAACAAGUGGUUCAUUUAUAUAUCCAGGCAACUUGGUUGAAGCCAUUGCAUGGAAAUUACCAAAAGAUUGAGGUAUGUUUCCUGCUAAAUUGUUCCAAGAAAGAUCCAAGAUUUGAAGAUUCUCAAGUUGUCCGAGCUCUGCAGGAAUGUUGCCGGCAAACAUAUUUGACAUCAGCCGAAGAAUUGUAAGAUUUGUUAACUUUCCUAGCCACACAGGAAUCUCACGCGAUAACUUGUUUUGCCCGAGAUCAAGUAAUAGUAAUGGACAAUUUUGUAAUGCCGAAGGAAGUUCUCCAUAUAAGCUGUUAUUGUUUAGGUGCAAGAACAAAAGAGAACUUAAUAAACCCAAUGAAUCGGGAAGAAGUCCAGACAGAUUGUUAUUGGAUAAGUUUAUAUCCAUCAGUUGUUUUGAUCCACUAUUCCAGCAAUUUGGUAGCUCACCAAAUAUUUUGUUGUUUGACAUGUCGAGUAUGUACAAAUUUUGCAAGUUGCAUAUAGAUGAUGGAAUGUUACCACUGAUGGAGUUGUUCGAGAGAUGAAUGGUGAGCAUAUUUGGCUUGAAGAAAGACUGUGGAAAUGAUCCAGAAAACAUAUUGCUCGAGAAAUCAAGCCAUUCCAAAGAAUGUGGCAGAAAUGGUAGGAAUCCUUCUAAAAAGUUAGAAGCAAAAUUUAACGCACGUAAAGAUGUCAUGUUUUCCAAAGAGGAUAGCAGCAUGCCACUAAUUUGGUUAUUAGAAAGGUCCAAGAAUACUAUGGGAGAAGUUAGGUCCCAAAACCAAUUAGGAAUAGCUCCUGUGAUAUCGUUGUUUGACAAAUCUAGGACGAAGAUUUCUGUCUGCAACCGUAGCCAUCUUGGAAAUCGUGGACCCAAUCGACAUGAGCUCAAAACUAAUUCGUUCGCUUGAAAAGGAGGAACCCAAUUAUCGUCCACCUUCAAAUCAAGAGAUGUUCCACUCAACCUCAGCACCUCCAAUUUCGUGAAGUUCAUAAGGUGCGUUUCAUGCACAACCCCCCGAAACAAAUUUUCGGAAAGGUCAAGAAAAUAAAGAUUGGACAAUUUUUGUAUCCCUUCAGGUAUCGAACCAUUAAAGAAGUUAUUGCUGACAUCUAGAUAUAUAAGACUCGUCAUUUGUUCGAGCCAGCCAGACAAAUUACCCCUGAUAUUUGUUUUCUUUAAAUCCAGCGCUCGCCAAUUGUUAAGUGGGACACACGAGAAUAUUGACAGGAAUUCGACUAUAUCUCUAUCAAUAUUAAUUCCAGACAAAUCUAAAGUGGCCAAUCUGCAAAGAUUAUUGAUUGAAUCGGCUACUUGACCGUCGAAGUUGUUGGAUCCUAGCAAGAGGGAAGUAAUCCGAGUAAAAUUGUUUAGCUCGACAGGAAUAGGGCCAAAGAGAUUGUUAUUUAAGAGAUUUAGAUCAGUCAAACUAGUGAAGUUCCGAAGCCAACCGGGCCAAGUGGAGUUGAACAAGUUGUCUUGGAGAUCAAGUAUGGUCAAACUUGUUAAGUUAAAAUUGGAAAUGGGGUCAGGAUUGCUUGGAAGAGAACACAACCCUAAGCGGAGCACUUGCAAUGAAGACAACAUGCUUACUCCUUGCAACCAAUCAUUCGCAUUUUGUAGCAACACAGAGGUCAAGUCAAGGUACCUUAAAGAAUGGAGACCUUUGAUCCACGAUAGUUUGCCAUGAGAGGUAGUACUAAGUUUAGCAUCAAUAUUACUAAGGUCAAGAUAACGAAGAGUUGACAAGUUUCCGAAUUCUGGAGGUAUCGCUCCAGUAAAACCCGCAUAAGAGAGGUCAAGAUAUCUCAACUUCUUAUACGAAGCUAUGAAAUUAGGGAAACCGGUACUAAAGUUAUUCAUGCUGAGAUCUAAGUGCUUCAAGUGGCUUAAAGAUAGCAAUGAUGGAUUGACCUCACCACCGAAACCUAUGUAGUUUGCGUCUAAGGAAGCUGGACAAGGGAAUCUGAGUUUGAGCUUCUCCACUCUGCGAGUCUCGUUGUUGCACCGAACUCCUUUCCAUCUGCAGCAGUCAGAGCCUUCCCAAGAAGACAAGCAGUUUCGUGGAUCGAUGACACCGGACUUGAAUGCGAGAAGCGCCUCACGCUCUACACCGAGGCAUCCAUAGGUCUCCAAGAUUUGGGCUUUUAUUAGCCAAACCACGAGUAAUAUUACAAAAAGUUGCAUGCUUGUAGCUUUAGCCCUCAUGCUUAAGGUACCAAAAGGCUUUUUGUGAGAAGGUAUGUAAAAUUGCAUGCUCAAGCUAUGUGUAUUUAUAUUAUUGGUAUAUCUAUAGAUUGGUCAAAUUUUAUUUUGAAUGGAACCUUGACCAAUUUGGUCUUAUUUGUAGGGCCUAGUUUUCUAGAUGAAUUAAGUAGUGUGUGGAUAGCCCUUUUAGAAGAAAUAUUAUAUUAAAAUUUUGCUCCUACUUUAAUUCUAUUUAGAGUAGAAUUAGAAAUAUCACAUUACAACUUACAGUGCUGGCCUCAAAAUUUUGUUCUGAUUUUCACUAGUGCAGAAGCACCAGGCUUUUUCCCUUAUGCCACAAAUUCAAUUUUUUGAAUAUAAAAUACAAAUUUAAAAUAAAACUUUCAAUUUCAAUUCAAAAUUUCAAUCUAAAUCAAAUAAUAAAACUUGCCUUUAAGAUUAGAAGUACAAUUUAGAUUUAGAAUUUCAAAUUGUGUUAGGUUAUAUGCCGACUAGGUAGUAUACAUAGGGGUUGUUAUCCUUGGUAUUGUUAAAUAAUACGAAACAAUAAUUACUCUAAAAUUUAAACUCAUAGAGAACGGUGUUUAAAUAUAUAUCUGAACUCUAAAAAUUUAAGCCGAUAGAAAACGAUGUUUUAAAAUUUUUCAUAUUUAACACUUUUCCUCACGUCCGGACUCGAGACUUUUCGCUAGACAUAUUCCAUGGAUUUGAAUUAUAUGGAAAGAAAUUAAUAAUUCGCUAGACCCAUAACGUGGACUUGAAUUAAGUGGGAAGAAAUUAAUAAUGGUAAGAGCUUGACAUAAUUCGAACUCAUGACCUCCUACUAUGAUACCGUGUUAAAGAAUAUAAAACAACCGUUAUUCUCAAAAGUUAAAUUUGUAGAGAACGGUAUUUAAAUAUUUUUUAUAUUUAAUUGGUAUGAGCACCAAGUCGAGUAUAAAACAAUGUUGGUGAUAUCCAACAGUAAAAAAAGAUGCAUCUUAAUGAGACGAGUUUGUUUUUACGAUAUAGGAGUCACGAUAUGAUCCGCUAAUAAUAAUAACUCGCUAGGUCCAAACUAUUGGUCCAAAAUACUUAAUCCCAAUUAUUAUUAUUAGAGUGCGGCUCAACCACCAGUCCAAACUCGAUCACAGAUAUAUAGACUAAAAUUAUGUGGUGUAGUAUUUUGCCUCACAUAACACUUGGCUUUCACACUUUCGGUUGAUAUUCGACACUAAUACUAACUAUAAUGAUCCGACUCCCUAACAAUAAUAACCCGGCCCAAGCUGUUGGCCUAAAAUGGAACCCCUUGAGGUGUUACCGAUGUCUCAAUUGGAGUGUAACAAGAUAGAGCAAUUAUUAUUAGGGUGUGUGACCUUUUAUAUUCUUAAUCAGCUAUAACGAUCCAAUCUGCUAGUAAUAAUAACUCGUUGCAGCUAAAUUACUGGCCCAAAAUAUUUAAUCCAAGUUAUUAUUACUAAAAUUUGUGGCCUCCUAUAUUUUCGAUCAAACCCUUUUUUGAUCUAAUGUGGGACUAUGGGGACACUACAAUAGGUACCUUUGGAUAGAAUAAAAAUAAAAGAAGAUAAUAUGAAAAUAAGAUUUAAAACGGAAAAAAAAAAAGGUCUUCUAAAGCAAGGUGACCAUGAAAGCAUCUCCUUUGACCAAAUUACUUGUUACGGGACAAAAUUAAUUAAUUUCAUAUGUGUGGAAUUCCAAGCCAUGACAAUGAUCCAAAGACUAAUGCUUAAUUUAUGCGCGCAUCAGAAAACACUCAAAAUAUAAUUGAUGAGUCUGAUUUACAUAUAAAUAAUAUGUAAAUUAGAUCCAUUUUAAAAUCAAAUCCAAAUAGCAUUCAAGUGAUCAAAUUUAGAGAAAUUGAAUUCAGUGCAAUUAAUUAAGGGUGAUUAUUUUAAUUUGCUUGGACUAAAUAAAUUGGAAUUUAAUAGAGUUCAACUCCAAAUUAUUGUUUGCAAUGGAAUAAAAAGUCAUAUUAAUAUGCCGAUGUUUCUUAAUAUUUUCCUUUAGUUAAAUUGUAAGAAAAUUAAUAUCCAUUAAUUUUGGGAAGGAAUUAUUGGGACAACGAAUACAUAAUAACUCUCAGUGAUUUAAUUCUUACCGAACCAAAAUCAAUUGAAGGAAUUUGAUCCUAAUUAAUUAGCAUCGUUGGUUUAUGCUAACAACCACUGUUUAAAACACUUGGUUUUUUUUUUCUUACUGAAAAAGGCUAUUUAUGAGAUCGAAAGUUCGGCACAGCAUUGAUGCUUCAAAAAAUUAGGGACUCGAUCACCCCUAACUUUUCACAUAGUACCUUAGCAUUUAAUCAAAAGCAAUAUGAUAAAUAUAAUAAUUUUAUACUGAAACAAUGUUUAAAGAUAAAUUAUCUUUGUACUUGAAAAUUAUCUUUGUACUUGACUAUCUUUACUUGACUAUCUUUUGAAUGGAUGCCAUUAUUACUACAUGACAUAGUCUUUUUUUAUUUAUAUAUAUUUUUUUGAGGUGUGAAACCGAGAAAAUGUGGUAAAAAAGUUGCUGGACUUGGAGUCGUCCAACAAUAAGCAGGCCACUUUUUUAGUGCUUGAUCUUGACUCUUAAGUCAUGAAAUAAUUCAAUUGUGGUUCGACUUGGUCUCUGUAAUAAAUCAGUUUGGUUCAGUUCUAUAUAAAACCGAGAAUUUUGAUUAGGUUUAAAUAUUUUGCAAAUUGAACUAAAUUUUUUUUGCAAAUUGAANUUUUUUUUUUUUUUUUUUUUUUUUUUUUUUUUUUUUUUGUGAGGUGUGAAACAGAGAAAAUAUGUUAAAAAAGGUGUUGGACUUGGAGUCAUCUAACAAUAAGCAGGCCACGUUUUUAGUGUUUGAUAUUGGAUUUUAUUUUAAAACGUAAACAUCAAAUAUAAAAUUAAGUGCACAAUUUGGAAUCUUUGUGAACUGCUUAUGCAAUUCCAAGUCAUGAUAAUUGCAUCACCGGAUAAAAACUUUAAUGGGAAGCAAAUUAUUAUAUGUACUCGGUGUAUCCGUGUUAAAUAUAAAAAUGUUUAAACACCGUUCUCUAACAGCUUAAGCUUUUAGAGUACAACGGUUGUUUCACAUGGUAUCAGAGCAGGAGGUCCUGAGUUCGAGCCACGUCAGGCUCUUAGCAUAUUAAUUUCCUCCCAUUUAAUUCAAGCCCACGUCAUGGGCCGAUUAAAAAGUCUCGAGCCCAGACGUGAGGGGGAGUGUUAAAUAUAAAAAUGUUUAAACACAUUUCUCUAACAGCUUAAGCUUUUAGAGUACAACGGUUGUUUCACAAUCCGUACAUCCCAUGCACUGCACCGGCACUUCAUAUUUGCUGAUUAAUAUUCUAAAAUCAAAAUCUAAUACAACUUAUCAAAACACAUAUACAUCGAGUAUGAAAUAUAGACAUUUCUCAAUUGUAAGAGAAUGAUGUCCAAAUUUUUAUGAAUUUUUUUAUUUGUAGGUCUUUUGAAAUUUUAUAGAGUAUAUCUAGUUAACUAGAUUUUAACUUUGAGGCUCUCGUCUGUGAUUCGAGGAUUCGAGAAGUGAACGGAAUGGAUACACGGUUGGGAGAGUUUCCCACCUCAUGCUCCAUUUUUUUGGUGGAUCGGAACGAAUUCAGAGCGGAUUAAUUUUUCACUUGUCGCUUCAUUCGGAACUGGUUAGGAUGGAAGCAAAUUUUUAGCAGAUCUUUAACAAAUCAGUACAGAUUACGCAAGGAAGAGAUCUCCCACCUUUCGCUCUAUUUCUUUAAUAGAUCGGAGCAGAUUCAGGUUGGAUUACUUUUUUCUUAUUUUUGACCCCAUUUACUAUCUUAUUUGGGGUGGACGGAGACAGGAACUCCAUAAACCAUGAUUUAUUUGCAUCCCUUGGGAGAAUAUUCUCCACAUCUAUAUCUAUAUCUACCAGGACUUGUGGAGAAAUUAGAGUCUUCACCUAACUAGCGUAGGCUCUCUUUGGGAUUGCGAAAAAUAAUAUUACAUGUAGUGAAAAAGUACAGUGACAAAUAUUAUAUUUGUUUUAAUACGUAAUAUUGUGUUCUCCAUAUCAUAAUGAGUCGGUAACGAUACAUUUUUUUAAUACGUAAUAUUGUAUUCUGCAUAUUACAAUGAGUCGAUAACGAUAUAUUUUUUUAAUAAUUUUACUGAAAGUACAUAACUAUAUCUCUAUAUGCUUUUACUCAAACUUUAUUUUACCGGUUAGCAUCAGUUGGGUCUUAAUACUAGGGAUGUCAACGGGUCGGAUUUGGGGCGGGUUUUUAAAAAUCUGAACUCGGACCCGAUUACCAAAUCCGAAAUCUGAACCCGAAUCCGAACCCAACGGAUUUUAAAAAUUCAUAUCCAAACCCGAACCCGACCAAAAAUCUGGAACUCGAACCCGACCAAAAAUCCGAAAUCCGAACCCGAAUCCGGAAAAAAUCCGAUUCCGACCAAAAACCCGAAAUCCAAUUCUAAACCUGAAAACCCGAACUCAAAAAUAAUAUUUACCAAAUUUUGAAACAUAUUAUACAAAAAACUAAAAUCUCAAAAUAUAUAUUCAAAUACAAUAUUAAACAUUCAUGCCAUUCAAAAGUUAAAAAUACUAAUUAUGAGAAAAAUAAAACAAAAGAUUUCUUAAAAAAUUAAAGAUAGUUCUAUUGCUCAAAAAUCUAUAAGGUUUAAAGACUAAAGUUAAAAAUACUAAUUAAGAGAAAAUUAAAAUAAAAGAUUUUUAAAAAAUUUUUAAAAAAGUAGCUCCAUUGCCCAACAACCCACAAGAUCUAAGAGAGUAACGGUUAAAAAUACUAAUUAAGAGAAAAAUAAAACGAAAAUUUCUUAAUUUUUUUUAAAAAAAAGAUAGUUUCAUUGCCCAACAACCCAUAAGAACUAAAGUACUAAACUUAAAAAAUAAGAAAAAAAAAGACAUAUAUGAAGAAUCAAAAAAACCCACAUCAAUGAAGCAACUUUAAUUCUCAAUUUUUUUCAAAAAAAUCCUCAUCUUUUUUCCUCUUAGGUUUGAGGUUAUGGUUUUUGGAGAGAAAGCAAAAAGUCAAAAUAACCUCUUGGAGAAGAAUUAAAAAAAAAUUACACAAGUCUACAACCACUUCACUAGUUCUAACCUAUGUUAGUUAAUUCGCGAAUUAUUUGCGAAUUAUUAAAAAUCCGAAUUAAACGGUCCGUUUACGAAUUUUUUUCAAAGAUAAAAUAUUAUUCGCGAAUUUUUGGGCCAGCCGAAUUAUUCUCGAAUUAUUAAAAAUAUGAAUAAAAAAUAUAUAAUUUUAUAUUUAAAUAUAGAUUAUCUUAUAUUGCAUAUCUUAUAUUUUAUAUUUUAUACCGAAUCUAUUUUUUAAGCCGAAUUUUUCAACGAAUUUAAAAAUUAGAAAACGAAUUUUAUGCGUAUUAUACCCGUACCGAAUUUUUGCCGAAUCCGAAUUAACUAACUAUGGUUCUAACUAUUAGGAUUCGGAGAUGGAGAGGGUUUGGGAAAUGGGAAGAUUUUGAAAUAGUUCUCUUUUCAUGUUUUAACUAUUAGGGUUUGGAGAGGACUUGAAAAAUAGGAUGGUUUUAAUUUUUGAAUAUUAGGGUUUAGGUGAUAAAAAUAUAUGUAUUUUAGUUUAGUUUAUAAAAGUGUAAGUAUUUUUUUGGCCUUUAGAUUCAUAUCUAAUGGUUUGAAUUUUUUUAUAUAUCAUAUUAAAUUUAUUCGAAUUCGGGUUCAGGUUCGGAUUCGGGUUCGAGUUCGGGUUCGGAUUCAAAUUCGGAUUCGGAUCUUUUUAAAAUAUCCAUACCACAAACCGAAUUUGUCGAUUUUUUUUUUUUUUUUUAUUCUAUGAAAGAUAAUGUAUAGAUAUAAAUAGGUAGAUAGAUAGAUAGAUAGAUAGAUUUGUCGAUAUAUAUAUAUAUAUAUAGAAUUAGGCUAGAAUACUAUUAAUAGUAAAACGCUCUUUUUGCUAUCAAGUUUUUAACCCUUGGAUGAAAAAUUGUAGGGUCAUGAUGAUAUUAGUCGAUUAGAGUUGAGUGGCUAUAUAUAUAUAGAAUUAGGUUGGAAUACUAUUAAUAGUAAAACACUCUUUUUGCUAUCAAGUUUUUAACCCUUGGAUGAAAAAUUGUAGGAUCAGGAUGAUAUUAGUCGAUUAGAGUUGAGUGGCCUCUCUAGGGUUGAGUGGUCCCCACUGGGUUAUAGUAUUUAAUCCAAUAGUUAGAAAUAAUGAAAUGAGUUGAUCUAAAGACUAAAAAAAUUAGUAGCAACAACGAGAUUUUGCUACUAAUAAUAGCCCAGUCCAACUAUAUAUAUGCUACUAAUAAUAGCCCAGUCCAACUAUAUAUAUAUAUAUAUAUAUAUAGAUUAUUUAUAUAUAUAUAUUAUAUAUAUAUAUAUAUUAUAUAUAUCGUUGGCAUGUAUUGAUACGGCGUGACGCGCCGUCGUGCUGAUAAAUUUUCAACGGGACUCCGGGACAAGAUUCUUAAAUCUUGACCGUAACCUUAAAAUUCCUGACCGUAUUCUUUAAAAAUAAGUAGGCAACUUCUGUUGUUGACGUGUGCAGUCUUUCCAUACCGCGUGUAAUAAUGAACCGAGUGGGACGUUGAUCAAAAGAAACAUAAGCCAAAACAGGUGACCCAUUCUUUCCACACAAGGACAUGGACUUUAAUUUUGGGGAUUAAUUGCAUACAGUUCUUUAUAAAUAUAUCGAAUAGCAAAUAUAUUUUUAUAAAAUUUAAUUUUUAUUUUUUAUUUUUUAUAAAAAUUUAAUAAUAUUUAUAUUUGCUUUAUUAGUUUGUUACCGUUAGACUACUGUUUAUUUUUUAAUAGCAAUUAAGUAAAAUGAUAUCUUUGCCCUUAUAAAUAUAUUAUCCCUUCAAAAGUCUAAAUUAUUAGAAGUAUGCAGAAAUGUCCUCCCAAAAUAUAUUUUAUUCAAUAAUAUAAAAAAAAAUAAUAAAAAGGUCAAUUUAACUCAUUCACUAAUCAGGGUUAAAUAUAUUUUAUCCAUGAUUAACUAUAUUUUUCUAACGGAUUCCGGCAGUAGAGAUAAAUUCGAAAAUGAUAGGACUUUUAUAGGGAAAAAAAUAAAAGGUUGAACUUUGUAGGAAUAUAUCCUCUAUUCGAUAUAUUUACGGAGAGCUGUAUGCAAUUAAUCCUAUUUUUGGGCAGCUAUUUGAGUUUUCAAAUUUAAUUCUCUAGAAAUUCCUAAUUCAUUUUACAAUCCAUUUGGAGUGACACCCAAAUAGAAUUCAAUUGGUUAAAACUGUUAGAAAAUUCAAUUCAAUUUAAUUAAGGGUGACUGGUUAUAUUUUGUUUGGAAUAAAUUGGAAUUGAGCUAAGGGCAUGCUUGGUUCGCCCUUUUUUCACGCAAGAAUCAGAAUCGGAAUAGACGAAUCCGUUUGUGGGUACUUGAUAUGCAGGAGGUUCAUUCCGAUUCGGAUUUUAGGGUGAAUAGGAAUCCUCCAAUCACCUCUUUUUCCAAUCCGGUUGAAUCCAGGCGGAAAGAGUGCACUUUACAAAAAUAUCUCAAUUAUAUUUUAUAUUUUUAUUUAAAAUAAAAUUUAAUUUUUAACCUUAAUUUUUAACUAAAAUAUAAAUUAAAAUUAAAGAAUAAUUUUUUUAUUCUAGAUUUUCAUUUAGAAAUUAAUUUAAAUUUAAGCUCAAUCAAGCAUUUUGAAUUUGAUUAUAUUUAAUUGUAACUUUGAAUCUGAAUCAAAUCAAAAAUUAGUUUUAUAUUUUGAAUUGUCCACUCAAUUUUAAUUUUUUUUUUUUAAGUUACAUUUAAAAUUUUGACUUAUCAUUUCAACAUUUUGAUGUAAUUUUUUAAUAUUUAAUUUUUAGUUUGAAUUUAAAUUAUAAAUUUAAUUUUAUGUUUUGAGGUGGAAAACUCAAUUUUAAAUAAUUUUUAUACUUUAUAUUUAAAUUUUAAUUUUAUUUUAAUUAUUUUUUUAUAAUCAAGUUUUUAAAAUAUGACAGUAGGAAUCAAUCAUACCAAUUCCGAUUGUUAUUCUGAGCCAAACAUAUUGAGAGAUUUGGCAUUUGAAAGUUGAUUUGGGCAAGCACUGUAUAGGAGUCAUGUUUUAUUAGAUUGAUUUGACAGAUAACACAGUAUAAAAAAGAACUAGUAAUAGACCCGCGUAGACCUCGCAAUCUCAAUUCGUAUCCAUGGGUAUCCACAGGUUACCCGCAAAUUUGCAGGUAUAGAUAUUAUUUUUUCUAUCCAAAAAAUUAUAGAUAAAAUGGAUGGGAACCCAUUAAUUUGUAGACAUUUUGAGUAACCCGCGGAUACCUGCGGAUACCCAUAUAUAUAGUAUUAUAUAUAUAUAGAGUGGAGGAGAGGAGUGAGAGGACGAGAUGAGAAGAAGGAGAGUAGAGAGAUGAGAUGAGAGAGAGAGAGAGAGAGUAGAGCUACUGUGCUAUUAGGAGCACAGCAGUCCUUGUGCUCCUAACUUUCUAAUCACCUAUCAAGUUUGAUGAGUGGUUAGAAUGAGAGAGAAAAGAUAUAUUGGGGAGAAAUUUAGUGUCCUAUCGAUAGUAUAGUAGCCGGACUAUAUAUAUAUAUAUAUAUAUAUAUAUAUAGAGUUCGGCUACUAUACUAUUGAUAGUAUCAAGUUCUUGAUACUAUUGAGUUUUCUACCAUUAGAUCUACCUUUUGAUUAUUUUCACCCGUUCGAUUAUACUAUUAAACCAACCACCCACUCAACCCUAGGGGACCACUAUCAUCCUAACCGUACAUCCUUUCAUCCAACGGCCGAAAACUCAAUAGUACCAGGGGCUUGGUACUAUUGAUAGUAUAGUAGCAUAAUUAUAUAUGAGUAAAGCUACUGUCCUUUUAAGAGUAUAACAGCCUUGGUCCUCCCAAUUUUAUAGCCAUUGAUCUUGCUUUGAGAUCCGGUCCCGCUGGCAUGGGUUUGUGCGGAGUUAACGGAGCACGUCCGUUAACGGAGAGGGGUAAAUAGCGAAGCUAAGCCAAAAAAAAAAAUAUCCAUCGCCCAUCUAUACUCACAGCAAAAAGUAGGGUUUCUAAAGCCUAUCCUCCAUUCUUUGCUCAUUUCCCUCUUCUUCCUCUCCAAAAAAAAAAAAUCCAUCGCCCAUCUAUGCUCACAGCAAAAAGUAGGGUUUCUAAAGCCUAUCCUCCAUUUUUUGCUCAUUUCCCUCUUCUUCCUCUCCCGGUUUUCCUCUUCCGUCGCGACCAACUUCGCUACUCGGAUUCGGUGCUCAGACGUGCUCUGAAGCCUCUUUCUCCUACGCCUUCGCUCGGAUCAAACAUUCAAAUUGGUGAGCUUUCUUUGUUUUUCGAUUUCUAUGGAACUUCUUUCAUGGUAGAUCUACUUAGCUUGAUUUCAAUCAAGAAGCAUUCUUCCCUCUCCUUUUGCUGAGAAAAUCAAGAUAUUAUUUGUCAAGAGGAAAAUCAAGUUUAUUAAUUUGUAUUUGUUUCUUAUGAAUUCUUUGAUAAUCAUUUCAUUUUGUGAAUAUCAAAAUUUGUUUUCCUGUUUUCUUCCCUUCGUGCUUUCACUAAUUCUUUACACCCAAAACUGAGCAAAAAUUUCUGUUACCAUUUCAUAGCAAAGAUGUUGUAGUAUAACUCUUUGCAUAUUUCUUUUUAUAGGUNNNNNNNNNNNNNNNNNNNNNNNNNNNNNNNNNNNNNNNNNNNNNNNNNNNNNNNNNNNNNNNNNNNNNNNNNNNNNNNNNNNNNNNNNNNNNNNNNNNNUCAAAUUUAGAUUUACAAAAAAUAUCUUGAAAUACCUAUUAGUAUUUCUACUAUUAAUAAGAAAUAAAGGGUAAAAAUGGUAUUUUGAAAAUUUAACUCCUUUUCAGAUGGGAUUUAACGGAUUUUAACUAAUGAGGGGUAUUUAUGAUAAUUUUAAACAUAUUGGAGGGUAUUUGUGAUAUUAUUAAUUUUAGAAGGGUAUUGGUGAAAUUAAUAGUUUCUAGAAGGGCAUCUAUGAAAUUAUUCCUAUUUUUUACUACUACUUACCACUCCAUUCGAAAAUCAAAGGAAGGGUUUUUCAUCUCUUCCUCCAUCUCUCACUCAAUAUUCUUAGCGGAUCGGGACGGAUUGAGAGCAAAUUAUUAUUUUUCUUUAAUUUUAGCCCUCACCGUCGGAAGCUCCACCGAUCUGGAUCCAAUCUCAUCCUACUCAUAUGAACCUCCAUACGUACUCUUUUACCCUAAAAGUAGUGUGCUAAAUACUGCAUCAAGAUUAGCAUAUAUGGAGGGAAAAGAGAGGAAAAAAAGAAAGAAAGAAAAAGUCACACAAAUUGAAUUCCAGCCACACGUGUUAAGAAAGAUAAUGCGGAAUCAAAAUAAAUUUUAUUUCUCAAAAACUUUUUAUGCAGAAGGCCUUAUCUUAUUUAUAUAAAAUAAGUCUUAAUUUCACUCCUUAAAUCCCUCGAUUUUAAGAAUUUUUCUAAUGCAAGCACCAAAAAUUAAAACAAAAUAGAAAAAAAUUCGAAUACUUCAUGGAAACAAGUUAGUAUCAAUUCCCUCUUCGGUAUUACCAUGCACUUUGAUAAGAUAAGGCUACAAAUAUUUACAGACUCCAUAUUGGAGCCAGAGUCAAAGAGUUGGAGUACCAUAAUUUCUUUUAUUCAUUUGACAUGCAAAAAUAAAAAAAAAAGGAAAAAAAAAAAUCUAAUUCCAACCUCAGGACGAAAAGAAAUCUAGUGGGAAGAAAUAAGAAUAAAUAUAAAUGUUUGGAGAUGAUAAAUUUGAUGACGAGAAGAAUUAGAUAGGCUAAACUGCACUAUUAGUUCUCAAACUAUCAACUGUGUGACAUUUUGGUGCUCGAACUUUAAAUUGUAGAAAUUUUUUUGUUCAAACAUCCUAGAAUGUCGCAACCAAAUACUUCAAUACAAUUUAAUUUACUAAAUAAUAAUGUCUCGUUGAUGUGACGGUGAUACAGUAUUAUUAUAGUUGAUGAAAUAUAUGAAUAAUUAAGAUGUAUCAUGUAACAUUAUCAUCACGCUAGCGACACAUUAUUAUUCGACCAACAGAAGUACAGUCACUAUAGCACUCGAUUGCAGCUAAAUAGAAAUUAGGUACCAAAAAUUAUAACAAAUUCAAAUUUGAGGACCAAAAUGUCACAGGUUGCAUAGUUUGAGGACCGAAAGUGCAAUGUAGCCAAUGAGAUAAUAUUUGGAUUAAUUAGAGUAUUAGUAGUGCGUGGAUGCAACAAGAAUAAAAACAAUAUCAAAAUAAAGAUAUUGACAAAUAUUCUGGAAAUUCAAUGUGUACAGUACACACAUAAAAAUUGAAUCCAAAAGUUUUGUUUUUCGACAUCCAAUGCAUAUACUACAUAUUUUUGACAUAACAAAUAUCGCAAAUCGCAAAUUGAAAUCCUUCCAUGUAAUGGUUGAAUAAUAAUAAUGAGAAAAUAAUAUGCAAAACUUACCUGAACUAAGGACUAUUUUGAGUCGGCUAUCCAACCUUUCUAAAAUUUUAAUUUUAUUAUCCAAUCUUUCAAUUUGUAUGAUUUGAAUCAGUCAAAAACAUUUUGAGCUCAAAGUUUAAGCCGAUUACUUACUUUAAUUAAUUUAUAGUUGCGAGAAUUGCAUUAACUAUACUAACUAAAACUGUAAAGAUAAACGUUAUAUUCAAAUUUUGAAAUCAAAGUGUCGUUGACUGAUUCAAAUCAAACAAAUUGAAAGGAUGGACAGCCAAUUCAAACCGUCCAUACUUCAGUUAAAGUUCUAUACAAUGCGCUUCGCCAAUAGACAUUGGGGAUAUGCUGAACCUUGCUCCGGUCACUUGUUUCGAGCCUCCUAAUGAACUCCUGUGGCAUAUCGAUGAGAUACAUUGCCUGCAGCGACUGCAGGUACACGACACCCGCCGGUGUAGCUGUCAAGCUUGACAGGCCGAUAAGCUGCAGCUGGUACAAGCUUUUCAUGGCUCCGUCUUCGAUAUCAAUAACACUCACUUGCGCCAUGUCAGCUAAAAACAGGUUUUUCAGCCUAGGAAACCAGCCGGCGCGAAAGCUCAACCGCUGCCCCUCGUAGACCCGGUAGAGAUGGAGGUCUACGAGGCUCGACAUGUGCGAGAAGGAAUGCAAUGGAUCUGUCUGCAGCCCUGACCAGGCUAGUCGCAGGUCUCGGAGCCUUCCGAAGUUGGCGAACACGGUCGGAGCCUCGUCCUCGUCCAGCCUACCUUUCAAGUAGAGCUUCUGCAGGCUCGGCAGCGGGUGCACGCCGUCCAGACAAAGCAAUUCAUCUUUGUCACUUGCGACGACGCCCAACGCGACGAGCCCGGGCAUCAUUUUCAGGGAGGCCCACAACUCCGUGCAGUAGGCGCCUCGCACUUUCAUGACAAAAAGAUUACGUAGUGACGUUAAGCUUCCGAUAUUCUGCAUCAAGAACUUGUCGGCUUCGAUGUUGAGCAGCGUCUGCAGGCCUUCCAGGCGGCAGAUGUCGUGCGGGACCGACACCGCACUGAAGGAGUCGAAAGUUCUGCAAUUGUAGUCGUAGAAGCAGACCACGAACAGGUGCCGCAGCUUCGUCAGCGUCACGACUUCACGCGGCAGUUUCUCCACGCGGGUCAUGCUCAGGUCGAGUGUCUGCAGGUUCUGGAGCUUCCCCAGCGACUUCGGGAUGCUCUUCACCUUCGUGCAUCGUAAGUCCAGAUAAUGCAGGUUGAACAAAUUGAACACCGCGUCUGGGAUCUGCUCCAUCUUGGCGUGUCGCAAGCAGAGCACCCUCAGUAACUUGAAACUAGAUGAAGCGUUUUCGAUACUAGACGACGGCAGUUCUUCAUCGAACAAAAUAAACGAGCGAAGCUGUCGUAGAUUUGCAUUUGGUUGUGAGGUCAAUCCGCCUUUAUGAACGGACACGCGACGAGCCUGUUCCCUCAACAUCGUUGGCCCUGGACCGUUGCACACGAUUCCGAAUUUUUCCUCUCUCGACCUGGUCAGAGUUAUUUCCCUCACGAGAUCGUGGAUUUGAAGCAUUUUUGCUCUUCCAAAGUCGUUCCGUUCCACAACCUGUAGCAUCGAUCGAUGAACGAGUUCCUUCACGUAGCCGUCGGCCACUUCCUCCAUUGUCGUCUCCGGCCCCCUUUCUUCGAUGAAUCCUUCGGCCGUCCACAGCCUGAUCAACCAUUUCCGCCUUAUCAGAUAAUCCUCCGGGAAUAGGCUGCAGUACAGAAAACAGUUCUUCAGAUAGCCCGGCAGGUCGUUGAAGCUGAGAUUUAGAAUGCUCGCCACCCAAUUCAGCUCCGGAUUGUUCGUCAGCUGCCAGCUAAGCUGAUCGUAGAACGACUUCCACUCCUGCUCCUGCUGCUCUCUGUAGGAUAACAGACUGCCGAUCGCCACGACAGCGAGCGGCAACCCUCGGCACUUGUCCACAAUCUUUUCAGCCCAGUCCUUAAGAUGCUGCGGGCAGCGUUUCUCCGCGAGCCUCGAGAACGCUUUCUUGCAGAACAGAUCCCACGCUUCCUCCUUCGGCAAAGUGCUAAGCCGUAAGCGGCGAUUCUCGUCUGCCAACAAAGCCACAUCUUCCGUCCGCGUCGUGAUGAUCACUCUGCUCCCGAAAUUGUUUCUCACGAACGCGCAAUCCAACAAAGACCAGGCGGCUCUGCUCCAAACAUCAUCUAAGACGAUCAAGUACCUUUUUUCCCGCAGAUAGAUUUGAACCUUCUCCGCUAGUUCAAUCCGGUCCAUAGUGUCGAUGCCAUUUAGAAUCUCCUCGUUUUUGCCCGUGUUGUGUGUUAAGAUCCUUCGCAGUAGAUCUUCGACUCGAUAGCUUUGCGAGACGGAGAUCCAUACGCUCCAGUUGAAGUGGCGUUUAACUGUUGGAUUCUUGAAAAUGUUGUUCGCCAGCGUUGUUUUACCCAACCCUCCCAUGCCCGAAAUGGAAAUGACGGCGCGAGCUUCCUUCCCGUCGGUCAGCCAUUCAAUCAAUUUUUUGGUUUCUUCAUCAUUCCCCACGAUCUCGUCUUCGUGGCUCAAGUACGGAAUAUCGAAGGCUCGACGCUGCCUAAGAGCAGCGAAAUCCGACGCGGUUUCUCUCACCGAAAUGCCGUACCGGUCUCUCAUGGUUGUGAGCUUCACUAGACGAGUCUCCACCUGUUUGAGCUGAUCGGCGAUACCGUGCCAUGCAGCGAUGUUUUUCAAAUGACGACACUUUUUCUUCAGGGAAUUCCUGAAGCCGCUGACGUUUUCUUCCCCGACGAGAUAAGUGUACUCGUCGAUGAUAUCCUCGACUUCGAAUGCAACGUUCUUGACUUGCUCCAGCCACGCCACCAAGGGUUUGUUAGGAGAAUCGUGUGCGUUGACUUGACUUAUAUAGGCUUGCAUCACCGCAAACUCGCUCUCGAUUUGUUUCAUGCUGUUCUUGAUUGCUAGCAAGGCCGACACUUCUUUGACUAAUUCACUGCUUAUUGUAUCCAGUGCCUUCCCUGCCAACGAAGCUGCAAUCUUGUUGAGUACAUGAAACACCGCAGCUCCGGCCAUGCUGCCUCGCUCUUCUGUUGCGAUGUUAUAUUGUUAUAGUCGCAAUCCAAUCCUGAAGUUAUUUAACCAGUAAUAGUAGUUAGGAUAAAGGAGCAGGAUGAGAAAUAUGUAGCUGAUAUCAAAAUAUCUGUCGAAUAUAAUUGUUAAGAACCUCGUUCUCUAGCUAGCAUAUCUGUCGAAUAUAAUUGUUAAGAACCUUGUUCUCUAGCUAGCAGUUUAAACUUUUAGAGAAUAAAGACUGUUCUGUUAUAUUUAACAUGGUAUCAGAAUAGGAGAUCUUGAGUUUAAAUCAUACCAGCUUUCUAGCAUUAUUAAUUAAUUCCCUCGUUAAGAACAUAAGCCAAUUACCAAUCUGAAGUGUGAGAUGAGUUUCGACUGAGCACUGACAGAGAUGAGUCUCGACUGAGUCAGAAUCUAAAUGUCAGGGUGGGUGCUCGAGCCUCACGGAAAUGUUAGAGCAUAAGGGGGGAGGAAUGUGACAAGGGUGCUCGAGCCUAACGGAUAUGUCAGGGCGGGUGCUUGAGCCUGACGAGAAUGUCGGGAUUUAAAAGAGAGAAGAAUGUGACACCACCGGGAUUUAGAAUAGUCCUAUAUAUAAGAUAAAAUAGGGCUAAAUCUAUCAACAUAACUAUAGCAUUUUGGGCGGCAGAAGUUUUGAGUUCGAGUCCCGUCAGCCUCUCAACAUUAUUAAUUUUUUUCUUAAGAACAUCGUAUUAUUGCAGCUUAAACUUUUAGAGAAUAAUGGUUGUUCGUAUAUCUAACAACAUCAAACAUUGUAAUUCACAAAAAAGAGAAAGAAAAAAUAUAUACUUUCACAUGAGGUUAGGCUUGAUUGCUUCUUUCCACAAGUGACAGAUUGUUUGCGACAAGGAACAAAAAGAAAGCACUAAUUUCUUCUUGCUUCUAUGUCCUUUUUUUUUUUGUCUAAACAAUAAUUAGACGACGCUAUUUGGCAUCUGAUCAGAGCAUUGCACGCUAACCAACAAUAACAAAGAAUACAAAAACCAGCUGCAGGCACAUUUGGUCACAUAGAAGCCAAGUUUAAAAACAAAGAAAGAAAAUCUAAGUUCAUCCAACCAAGGCCAAAAUAUUAUCUUUUCAUGUUCAAUAAAGAAAAAAAACAAACAAACAAAUAUAUAUCCAACAAAUCUGCUCAUAAAGCUAGUGUAUUAAUUACCAGAACAUCAAUUAUUUCAUACGAUUAUGAGUUUGGAGUAUGUAAAGUUAGACUUUGUGCGCAAAGUCGCAAACAUGCCUAUAUUGAAGAUCUCUAUAGCCAUUAAAAUUCAUAAAAAUUUUUAUUUAAUAACAAUAACAAAUCAAAUGAAAACAAAUAACAAUAAAAAAAAAUGCAGGUAAAAAGAAAAGGUCAGGGGAAAUUUUCCUAAUGCGGAGUCAUUAUAAAUUCUCAUCACUAAUAAAUAACAGCCAAAUCAACCACAAAUAAAAGGAAACAUAAAUUACAUUUAAUUUUUAGAGAAAACUAAUCCAAAAACCCAUUUAUAUUAAACCCGAAGCGAGAGAGAUGAGCCCCUAAUUUAAACAAUAGAGCCAAGGGCUUAAACCCUCGACCUAAACUAUAGACCAUUUUGAUUCGACUACCUUAUCUUUCAAAAUUUUAAUUUUAUCACUCAAUCUUUCGAUUUGUCUAAUUUAAGUCAUACGAUGGCUCUUCCAAUAUAAAAUUUAAGCUAAUUGCUUACUUUAAUAAAUUUACAGUUAUAUGAAUUGCAUAAAACGUAUUAAUUAAUCUAUAAACAUAAUCGAUGCACUCAAAAUUUAAAGUUAAAGAGUAAUUAACUAGCUCAAAUCAAAUAACUUAAAAGAUUAGGGAGCAAAAUCAAGAUUAUUAAAGAUUAUCUAGCCAGAUCAAAAUCGGUGAUAGUUAAGGUAAGUUCUAUACAUUUUUACUGAAAAAUUAAUAAAUUCUUUUCAAUUUUAACUAAGGGGCUGUUCCACGUAAAACUGCGAAAAAAAAUUUUUGGUGGACAAAAAAUUUUCGGAGGAAAAUAACUUUUACGCUCUUUAGCGUUUGGUUUGCAGGAAAAAAAAAUAAUUCUCCGUUACGGUUGUUUGGUUGAAAGGAAAAAAUAGAAAAAGAAAGAAAAAAUUAUAAAUAAAAAAUUAUUAUAUAUAUAUAUAUAUUUUUAUUUUAUAUAUUAUAUAUUAUUAAUAUAUAAUAAUUAUCAUAUUAUUUAUAUUAAUAUUAUAAUUUAUAUUUAUAAAUAAAAUAUAUUUAAAAUAUAUUAUACNUCCAUCCUCUCCUCAUGCGGUCCACGACAUGGAGCGGAUCUUGUGGACCGCGUGAUUUACAUCCCCCGCGCGGCGUGCCCAACGCCGCGCUUUUCGUUUUCGCUCGAUUCGAGCGGAAAACGAAAACUCCCAUUUUACGCCGAAUCUGUAAAAAAAAUUUUCCGGGAAAAUUUUUUUACAAGCAAUCAAACGCUAUAUUUUAACUUUUCAACCGAAAAAAAAUUUUCGGGAUGGUUUUACAACGAUCUAUGAAUUUGCAAAAACAAGAAAAAAAAAGAGUACAGAAAGAUGCAAAAAAAGAUUUUACAAGCAAUCUAUGAAUUUCUCACACUGCUUAUACUCGACUACAGGAAGUAAGAAGAAGAUUACCUAAAGUUGAUCCCAGAGUGUGGAAGCUGCACUGAAGAGAGAAAAUUAAAGCAUGUGUAACUACUGCCCAAAUGUGAGUAUUAUUUUAUGAAACGAAUGCAUGAACAAAAAUCUAAUGCAUUUUUAUAGCCAUGGAGGUAGGGGUGUAAAUGAGCCGAACACGAGCGAGCUGGGUCGGCUCGUGUUCGGCUCGUUUAAUAAACGAGCCGAACACGAGCUGACUCGUCGUUAAAGUAUCGAGCCAAAAAAUUUAGCUCGUGUUCUGCUCGUUAAUAAAUGAGCCGAACACGAGCUGACUCAUUAAAGUAUCGAGCCAAAAAAUUUAGCUCGUGUUCUGCUUGUUAAUAAACGAGCUGAACACGAGUCGGCUCACGAGCUCGCCAACGAACAAUAAAUUAAAAGAAUUAGAUUGAAUAUAUAUAAAAAAUAAAUUUAUAAAAUCUUAUCCAUUAGAUUUUGAUCUAAUUANUUCUAUGUUUGAAAAUUAACUUUCAAACAUUCACUUGGGGAUAAUAUUUCAUAUUCAAUUACUAAGAAAUUGUAUAAUAUAAUUUUUCAGUUGCAAUAUUUUAUAUUUACAUAUAAUUUCGAUGCAAAAAAUUUUAAAUUAGAAACAAGUUUACGAGUUUAUUUCAUAAUCAAAUCAUACAAAUAAAUUCAAAAUUGGCUAAACUUUUAACCUUGGUUUAAGUCAGGUUCGAGUUUAAGGGGUAGACUAAAUGAUUUCAAUAAUAUAUUAUUUUUUAUUUAAAAUUGAAUGCAAUAUAUUAGUAAAGAAAAGUUAAUUUAGGAAAGGUAAUUACACAUCUUCCUUACUUGUAACGCCAAACCUUUCUAGCUAAAGAGGAUAUGUUAUAAGAUGUAAAUUUAUCAAAAUGCCCUUGUUGCAAAAAAAAAAAAUUGCCCAAUUAAGAGUUGACCGAUACCGAUGGUAUCAAAUACUGGUCAUCCUCUUUUAAAGGGUGCAUCUUGGCCGUCCAUUUAAAAAAUUUUAAUGGUUAAGAUGUUUUUGGUGUAUAGGAGCAUUGCUCACAAAUAUAUAUCCAACAAAUCUGUUCAUAAAGCUAGUGUAUUAAUUACCAAAACAUCAAUUAUUUCAUACAAUUAUGAGUUUGGAGUAUGUAAAGUUAGACUUUGUGCGCAAAGUCGCAAACAUCGCCUAUAUUGAAGAUCUCUAUAGCCAUUAAAUUUCAUAAGAAUUUUUAUUUAAUAACAAUAACAAAUCAAAUGAAAACAAAUAACAAUAAAAAAAAAAUGCAGGUAAAAAGAAAAGGUCAGGGGAAAUUUUCCUAAUGCGGAGUCAUUAUAAAUUCUCAUCACUAAUAAAUAACAGCCAAAUCAACCACAAAUAAAAGGAAACAUAAAUUACAUUUAAUUUUUAGAGAAAACUAAUCCAAAAACACAUUUAUAUUAAACCCGAAGCGAGAGAGAUGAGCCCCUAAUUUAAACAAUAGAGCCAAGGGCUUAAACCCUCGACCUAAACUAUAGACCAUUUUGAUUCGACUACCUUAUCUUUCAAAAUUUUAAUUUUAGCACCCAAUCUUUCGAUUUGUCUAAUUUAAAUCAUACGAUGGCUCUUCCAAUAUAAAAUUUAAGCUAAUUGCUUAUUUUAAUAAAUUUACAGUUAUAUGAAUUGCAUAAGAUGUAUUAAUUAAUCUAUAAAGAUAAUCGAUGUACUCAAAAUUUAAAGUUAAAGAGUAAUUAACUAGUUCAAAUCAAAUAACUUAAAAGAUUAGGGAGCAAAAUCAAGAUUAUUAAAGAUUAUCUAGCCAGAUCAAAAUCGGUGAUAGUUAAGGUAAGUUCUAUACAUUUUUACUAAAAAAUUUAUAAAUUCUUUUCAAUUUUAACUAAGGGGCUAUUCCAUAUAAAACUGCGAAAAAAAAAUUUUGGUGGACAAAAAAUUUUCGGAGGAAAAUAACUUUUACGCUCUUUAGCGUUUGGUUUGCAGGAAAAAAAAAUAGUUUUUCAUUACGAUUAUUUGGUUGAAAGGAAAAAAUAGGAAAAGAAAGAAAAAAUUAUAAAUAAAAAAUUAUUUUAUAUAUAUAUAUAUAUAUAUAUAUAUAUAUAUAUUAUUAAUAUAUAAUAAUUAUCAUAUUAUUUAUAUUAAUAUUAUAAUUUAUAUUUAUAAAUAAAAUAUAUUUAAAAUAUAUUAUACAAUAAACUAAUAUAUGAUUACAUAUAAUAGUAUAUUAUAUAUAUUUAAUACUAUACAUAAAUUUAUAAAUAAUAUUUAUAAAUAAAAUAUUAUAUAAUUAUCUAUAUAUAUAUAUGAGGUCCAUCCUCCUCACGCGUCCAUGACAUGAGCGGAUCUCGUGGACGCCGUGAUUUACAUCCGCGCGAGCGUGCCCAACGCCGCGCUUUUCGUUUUCGCUCGCUUCGAGGCGAAAACGAAAACUCCCAUUUUACGACCGAAUCUGUAAAAAAAAAUUUUCGGCGAAAAAUUUUUUACAAGCAAUCAACGGUAGAUUUUAAACUUUUCAACAUACGAAAAAAAAUAUUUCGGAGAUGGUUUUACAACGAUCAUAUGAAGUUGCAAAAAACAAGAAAGAAAAAGAGUACAGAAGAUAGCACAAAAUAUUUUAACUAAAAAUUUCUUAUUCGUUUUUUUUUUUUCUUUUUUAAGAUCUAUGAAGAAAAUUUCACUCAAGAGUCUCCUCUUAAAAAAAAAAAACAAAAAAUUCUGUCAGAAGUUGCACAAACAAAGAAAAAAAAAGAGUGCAGAAAGAUGCAAAAAAACGGGGAAAUUAAGUACAUUUUAAUGCAAAAUGACCCAAUAAAAAUUUCUCACACUGCUUAUACUCGACUACAGGAAAAGUAAGAAGAAGAUUACCUAAAGUUGAUCCAGAGAUGUGGAAGCUGCACUGAAGAGAGAAAAUUAAAGCAUGUGUAACUACUGCCAAAUGUGAGUAUUAUUUUAUGAAAAAACAUAAUGCAUGAACAAAAAUCUAAUGCAUUUUUAUAGCCAUGGAGGUAGGGGUGUAAAUGAGCCGAACACGAGCGAGCUGGGUCGGCUCGUGUUCGGCUCGUUUAAUAAACCAGCCCAACAAGAGCUGGCUCGUCGUUAAAGUAUCGAAGGCCAAAAAAUUUAGCUCGUUGUUCUGCUCGUUAAUAAAUGAGCGAACACGAGCAUGACUCAUGAGCUGGCAGCCACGAAACAGUAAAUCAAAAAGAUUUAAAAGGAUAUAUACAUAGGAAAUAAUUUUAUGAAAUCUUACUUAUUAGACUUUGAUCUAAUAAGCUGAAACUUUACGCAUAAAUAAACUUUUUUAUAAUUAUAAUUGAGUUAGACUUUUAUAUUUAGGUUAGGCUAAAAAAUAUAUUAUAUAUAUAUAAUUAAUUAUUUAUAUAUAUAAAUAUAAAUUAAAUAAAUUAUAUGAAUAUAAAAUAUAUGUAUUCGAGCUGUUAUCGAGCCGAACACGAGCGAGCUGACCCCAGCUCGUGUUCGGCUCGUUUAAAAAAUUCGACUAGUGUUCGGCUCGUUUACUAAACGAGCGAGCCGAUCUCGAGCUCAUUUCAAGCCGAACACGAGCUGGCUCACGAACAACGAGCUGGAUUGCCACCCCUACAUGGAGGUGGAAAAGAAGAAGGAAAAGUAUAGCUGGACUCCCGGUUGAAGACGUACAACCCCAUGUGGGUUGUACCACAACCCCAUGUGGGUUGUACCAGUAGCAUAGCUCAAAGAAGAAAUAUCAUACCUCUUUAGGACAAUUUCAUCUAUACCCUUCUAAAACCAUUUAAUUUCAUAAAUAUCCAACUAAAAAUUAAAAUAUCAUGUAUACCCUCCAAAUUUGAAAAACUUUCAAAAAUAACCAUACAAUCAAGUUUCCAUCCAAAUUAAAGUUAGUUACUAUUUAAAUUUCAACUUUGCCGCUCUAAUAUUUCAAAAUGAAUAAACUCUAUCUAGACUAAAAAUUUAGUAAAAUUCAAUUGAUUUUAGUUUAAAAAAAAUAUUCACUUCAAUUAAAAAUAAAUAUUUCUCCUUGGAAUAAAUUAUAGUUAAGUUUAAUUUUAUUUUGCUUCAUUGCUAAUUUAACUACAAUUUAUCCAAACAAAAAUAUUUAUUUUUAAUUAAAAUGAAUAAUUUUUUAAAAUUAAAAUUAAUUGAAUUGUACUUAGUUAAUUUUGAAAUAUAAUAGAGAAUAUUUAUGAAAUAAAAUAAUUGACUAUUGAAUACAUAAGAGGGGUAAAGUUGGAAUUUAAAUACUAAUUAACUUUAAUUUAGAUAGAAGCUUAAUGGUAGAGUUAUUUUUAAAAGUUUUUCAAAUUUGAAGAGUAUACAUUAUAUUUUAAUUUUUAGAUGAAUAUUUAUAAAAUUAGAUGGUUUAUAAGGGCACGGAGGAAAUUUUCCGUACCUUUUAUGGUUGGGGGAAAAGGGAGACCUCUUUUCAGACCUCAAAAGUUAUUGCCUUUGCACCUUUCUUGGAAUUAGCUGCCGACGAAGCUACCCACGAAGCUUCCGACGAAGCUGCAAUCCUGUUGAGCACAUGAAGCACUGCAUGUUCGGCCAUGCUGCCUAGCUCUUCUGUUGCGAUGUUAUAUUGUUACAGCAGCAAUCCAAUCCUGAAAUUAUUUGAACGGCAAUAGUAGGUAGGAUAAAGGAGCAGGAUGAGACAUAUGCAGCUGAUAUUGAAACAUCCGUCGAAUAUAAUUGCUAAGAACGUCGUUCUCUAGAAGCUUAAGUUUUAGAGAAAAAGGGUCGUUUCGUUAUGUUUAACUUGGUAUCAAAGGUAUGACGUUUUGAGUUCGAAUCCUGUCAAACUUCUUGCAUUAUUAAUUUUCUCUUUAAAAAUAUGAUUUAAUUACCAAUCUGAAGUAUGAGAUGAAUCUUAACUGAGCACUGAAAGAUAUUAGUCUCGACUGAGUCACGCUCUGAAUGUUAGGGUGGGUGCUCGAGAGCCUCACGGAAAUGUCAGGCUUAAGGGGGAGAGGAAUGUGACAAGGGUGCUCGAGCCUAACGGGAAUGUCAGGACUUAAAAAAAGAAAGAAUGUGACACCGCCGGAAUUUAGAAUAGUCAUAUAUAAAAGAUAUAAUAGGGCUAAACCUAUCAACACGACUAGCAUUUUGGCGGCGGAGGUCCUGAGCUCGAGUCCCGUCACACUCUCAGCAUUAUUAAUUUCCUCUUUAAGAAUAUCAUUUUCUAACAGCUUAAGCUUUCAGAGAAUAAUAGUUUUUUUAUUUAUUUUAUUUAGAAAUAAAUUUAACUAGAAAUGUGAAUCAACUAGGAUUCGAACUUGGGAUCUUGGAUACCAAUCACAAAGCCCUUUGUCGCUUGCGCUAGGAAUGGUCAGUUUAAACCUUGGGCACUAACUUGAUACACUUUAAAUCACAGGAUACUAAAGUGAAAAAAUGAGGAGCCACAUAAGUGGUGUUUUUUUGAGUGGUGUAUUCAUAUAUUUUAAUAUGACUAAUAAUUCAAUGAUUUAUUUGAAAUUGCAUGGAGAUUACGUUAUAUGCUGUUGAAAAAGUGAAAUAAGAAAUAAUCCGUUUAUUUUUGUAAAUAAUAUUUGCCACCGUAAGGCAAAUAAUUGGAUGACCUGGCUAGCUAUUUACAUGUGAUAUAUAUAACUAUAAUUACGUAUUUUUAAAUGUUUUGUGACUAUUUGAUAUCCAUAUAAAAUAUCAAAAUAUUAUUAUUUUUCUUUAUGAUUUUUUUUAGACAGGUUAUUCAAAGUAUGUGAAUUUCAUAUGAUAAUUUAUCAUUUAUAUUCAAAGUAUGUGAAGCCUUGGCAACAGAGUUGUCUAUUGCUGAAUAAACGAUAAGAAACAAAUUAAAAGUGGCUAGUUACUUGAAUAGAUGUAUACGGACUUCGCUAUUAAAAAUAUCCGUCUCAAUAUAGAUGUGUUGGUCGUGAUUCGUGAACACAUUAUACUACAGCCAAUAUCAGUUAUUCAAAAGAAUAAACAGUACUUUUGCAUGGUCCACUGGGCCUUAAAGCUACUCGUAGAGUCACUUACCAGGGUUUUUUUUUUUUUUUUUUUAGAGAUAGGUAGCACGCUACCCGUUUCGUUUAUUUCAUUUAGAAAUAAAAUUACUUAAAAAUAUGAAUCAACUAGAAUUCGAACUUGGAUCUCGAAUACCAACCACCAAGUUCUUUGCCACUUGCUCUAGGGACGGUUGGGGUCACUUACCAGGGUUGAGCUUCCAUGUUGACGGUCCAAGGGAGGUUGCAUCUAUAUGCUGUUUUGGGAUAACCACGUGGAGGUUCGAAUUAUAAACCACCAGUCGUUGGAUAUCUUUGAGUUUGGUUGGUCUAUUCCAACCUUGAUGGGUAGGAUACUCUGCGCUAGCUUGUUGAACACUUUGGUUUGGAUUUGGUUGACUUGCCUAAUAUAAAAUUCUAUGCUAGCCUAUCCCCAUCUGCCCGUAUAGAGUGCAGUUUACAUAUAUUAACACAAAGACCUUCUUCAAUAUAUGUAGUUUGUAGAGACUGUAGUUGCAUGUUAUUAUUUACAUGAUUUGUCUAACUUUUCUGUAAUGUAUUUUAGACACUUGAGAUGCUAGAAAAGAAGGAGAAAGUCCUCCUGAAGAAAGCAGCUGCUGAGGUUGAGAGGGCCAAGGAGUUCACCAGAGCAAAGAACAAAAGGGGUAUGCCAGCCGCGCCCCCCCUUUUCUUUUCUUUUUUUUUCCGUAAAGAAACCAAUGCAUUUUGUUUUUCAAUCUUGUAGCAUUUGCCUGUGUAACGGAUAUAUUAUUGUUCAUAACAUGUCUAAAUGUACUUUGCCAUGACUAUAUAUUAGCUGUGCUUUAACUUUGAAAAUAAGUAGCAGUAGUACUAGUCGUUUUUUCAUUUUUAAUAUGUACUUCUUGUCUGAGCUUUUUUUAUUUUUGAAUAUUAGCUGCCAUACAAUGCUUGAAGAGGAAGAGACUUUACGAGCAGUAAAUUGAACAGCUUGGAAAUUUCCAGUUAAGAAUUCAUGAUCAGGUACAGAGAGAAAUUAAUAAACAUACUAUUUCCUUCUGCAUUUAUGCCAUUAACUUCUUUAAUCUUUCAAUGAGAACUUAUCAUUGAUUAUCUGGAACAGAUGAUAAUGCUGAAAGGUGCAAAAACCACAACGGAGACUGUUGAUGCAUUGAGAACAGGAGCUACUGUAAUGAAGGCUAUGCAGAAAGCCACGUGAGUAGCUACUGCAAACUUGUCGAGUUCUUUGAAUUUUGGCAAUGUCUUGAAGUUACGUGUCUUUAUUAGCUGUCGUGUCUGCCUUAUACUUUAUUUGCUGAACCGUCAAAUCUGUACGAAAUUUUUUGGUCAAAAAUUACAUAUGUACCCACCAAGACUCCAAGUACAUGUAUUCCAUAGAUGCCCUCGAAAAGUGGAAAUACUAUAAAUGCCCAUUUAUAUGUGAAAAUUCUUGAAAAUGCCCUUGAAAAUGCACUUGAUGAUUUUCAUAAAUGCCCUUUGGAAAGGUUUUUAUUUGUCUUUAUGUAUCUUUACUGGGUCUUCUUGAUAUUUCAGUUCUUAAAUAUGCUUGACAUAUUUACAUACAUAUAUCUCUGUGUAUCUAAUUGCAAAGUAAAGCCUUGCUGAAUCUAAAUUUUCGUAUGUAGCCUUCAAAAAUUUAACUAUCUUUACACCCUACUACGUAUGAGAAAGCCCCUAUUUAAAAGACCUUUUCUUAUACAGAACCAACUUCUUGCCAUUGUUUAGAUGUCUCCCCAACUUAAGUUUGUUUUUGCACGAAACUGCUGUUUCGAAGAAUUUCUACAUAUAUACUCCAAAAUUCAGGUUUUACAGGAGUAUAUGUGGAAACAGAUGAUUUUACAGGGAUAUAUUAGAAGCUUAUUAAUUUGCAUGUGAGGAUCCCUUUAGUUUGGGUUUUGUUAGAAUUUGGUUAGAUUUGUAGUUAAAUACUAUUUGAAUAAGAAUUAAUAUUUAAAUCUGUUUGAGAUAAAUUAAGAUUUAAAUAUUAAUUAGAACAUAAACCUAACUAGAUUAGGAUUAAUAUUUAAAUCUAUUAGAGAUUGAUUAAGAUAGAUUUAGAUAUUAAUUAAAGUAUGAAUCCUAAAUAUAUUAGGAUUGGGGUACGUUUUAAGUUGAGUAUUAUAAAUAGGCAUUGUGGCUCUCUUAAAAAUCCGAUUUGACGUUUUCGUUGCGGAAUCCCAACAAUCGAUACCGGAUCCACAGCAGUCGGUAUCGGAGCAGGUUGCGGAUUCACGAGAUCCGGUACCGGGGCGAGUACCGGAUUCCCAACAAGUGGUAUCAGAGCCGAAGGUUACCGAUCUGCGGGAGAGAUCGACGGAGAUGGCCACGAAAUUCGAAAUCGAGAAGUUCGACGGCAAGAACAAUUUCGGAUUAUGGCAAAUUAAAGCACGAGCAAUCCUCGUACAGCAAAAGUUAGACGAGACGUUGAACGGGAAGGAGGCAAAGCUAGCGGACGUCACGGAUGCUGCAUGGACUAAGAUGGAGCGGAAGGUGCUGAGUACGCUUCAUCUAUCAUUAGCAGAUGAUGUUCUUUACAAUGUAGCCGGCGAGACGACACCGGCGAAAUUGUGGAAGAAAUUGGAAGAUCUGUACAUGACCAAAUCCCUGACGAACAGAUUGUAUCUGAAGCAGCGACUGUUUAUGUUGCGGAUGCAAGAAGCGGCGAGCCUACAUGAUCAUCUAAAUGAGUUCAACAAGAUGGUGGUCCAGUUGACCAGUAUCGGAGUCAAUCUGGAUGACGAGGACAAGGCGCUGAUUUUACUAUCUUCGCUAUCGACGACAUAUGAGCAUCUGGUGACUACGUUGCUUUAUGGCAAGGAGACCAUAAGCGUGGAGGUGGUCACGGCGGCGCUUCUCUCGAACGAGAUGCGGAAGAUGACUCAGGAGUCUAGCACGUAGAGCCGGGAUACUACUUUGGUGGUGAGAGCGAAGAAGGAGGUGAAAAUAUCGGCGACCGGAGAUAGACAGAAGAAGACGUUAUCUGAGGUAGAAUGCUUUUACAGUCACAGGAAGGGGCAUAUCAAGCGCAAUUGUCGAAAAUUUCAGGAUGAUCUGAAGGAGUUAAAGCGACAGAAGGAGCAAACUGUCGUGAACCAGGACGAGACGGUAUCAGCGACGGCGCAGACAGCAGAGUCGGAGAUGAUCGAUUCUGAUGUGCUGUAUGCGGCGACCGGAGGUGCGAAAAUUUCGGACGAUACGUGGGUGCUCAAUUCGGCGUGUUCUUUUCACGUAUGCCCGGAGAAGGAGUCUUUUGCCACCUAUAAGGUGAUCAAAGGUGGAAAUGCGCUGAUAGGGAACGGGACAGCGUGCAAAGUAUUGGGAGUCGGCAUGGUGAAAAUCCGAAUGCACGAUGGGGUCGUGAGGACGCUGACAGGUGUGUGGCACGUUCCUGGAUUGAAGCGGAAUUUGAUCUCAUUAGACGCAUUGGACUCGAAGGGUUGCGAUUUUUCAGCUUCAGGUGGAGCUAUGAGCGUCCGAAAACGAGAUCGAGUCGUAUGCGAGGCGAACAAGCGUGGGAACUUAUACGUUCUGAACUGGAGCACAGCCAGAACGGGAGCAAAGACGGUUUGGGUUCCAAAAGUUCGCGGAUGUGCAGUUGCUCGAGACGGAGCGACGGAUGCGGCGACAUCGAGCGGAGGAGACAAGCUCAAGGUGGAGCUUACAUGGUGAGCUCAACGUAGCGGUUGAAAAUUACAAAUCAAACCAAGGUGGAGAAUGUUAGGAUUUGGUUAGAUUUGUAGUUAAAUCCUAUUUGGAUAAUAAUUAAUAUUUAAAUCUGUUUGAGAUAAAUUAAGAUUUAAAUAUUAAUUAGAGGAUAAACCUAACUAGAUUAGAAUUAAUAUUUAAAUCUAUUACAGAUUGAUUAAGAUAGAUUUAGAUACUAAUUAAAGUAUGAAUCCUAAAUACAUUAGGAUUGGGGUACGUUUUAAUUUGAGCAUUAUAAAUAGGCAUUAUGGCUCUCUUUUUUGGGUGUAGUACGGUUGGAACCAUUGGGGUGUCGUACCAGAGAGAGAAAAAGAGAGAGAGAGAGUUAUUUUAGUGCACCUUGUGCACGGGUGCACGCGGAGAAGUCUUCUUUGUGGGUUUAUAGAAGACGAGAGAAGGGUAAAAGAGAUUCAAGAAGGAGGGCUCGGGUUGUAACUACUCUGUGCAGAAGAGGAGUCAGGUGUAAUCUUCUCUUAUUUAAUGAAUCUUAUUUUACCUGUAUAUUUUUCUCUUUUAUGAUUGUAUCAGCUUUUCCCGAGGAGACGGGUUUAUGGUAAAAAUCCGAUUCGACGUUUCCGUUGUGGAAUCCCAACAAUCGAUACCGGAUCCACAGCAGUCGGUAUCGGAGCAGAUUGCGGAUUCACGAGAUUCUGUACCGGGGCGAGUAUGGGAUUCCCAACAGGUUUGAGUAAUGAUACCUGCUAAUAUUUCCCUUUUUCUUCUUUUGCAGAAAUAUUGAUGAUGUUGACAAGACAAUGGAUGAAAUAAAUGAACAAACAGAGAACAUGAAACAAAUACAGGAAGCAUUAUCGGCGCCUAUCGGAAUUGCUGCUGAUUUUGAUGAGGUAUUGCUGUUUAUUUUUUUCUUUCAAAUGACUUAACCGCUUGCUCUUCUUUCUUUCUUUGGCAUAUUGAUUACCUGUUAAUGCUUUCCAUAAUUGGCAGGAUGAAUUGGAAGCAGAACUUGAAGAGCUUGAGGGAGCAGAGUUGGAGGAACAGCUUCUCCAACCAGCUACGACUGCUCCAGUUGCUCCAGUACAUGUGCCAGCUGGUAAGCAACCGGCUCGGGCCACUCCUCAGAAAACUACUGCAACUACAGCUGAAGAGGAUGAACUCGCGGCGUUACAAGCAGAAAUGGCAAUGUAGACAGGUACGGGAUCUUUAAAUUGUAGAAUUACUGCUAUAGUUUCUUAUGAAACUAAUGUUGUAUCAACUAGUAUAACAAACUAUUGACUUUUCGCAAAAAUUACUUUUGUCAUUGAGUUCUGUAAGAAUAAUGAGCUUUCUAUUUACCAAAUCCUCUAUCAUGCAUCAUGAAUGUUCGUGAACUGCCUGCUGCUAUCAUGAAAGUAGGGUUAGUUUGGAAGCUGCUGGUGUAAAUUUAGCGUGUACUCCAAUUUCGUUCUUAGUACUUUAACCAUGGCCAUUUAGUCCCUGCUGGUGUACUUAGAUUUCGUUCUCAUAAUUUUAACUGCGACCAUUUAGUCCCUAUUGGUUGACUCCGCAUUCAUUUUCAUCUUCGGAGUUUGCAUUUUGCUAAGCAAAGUCUAAUGAUGGUGCUGACUUGGCGUCUAGUUUAGCCAAUAUACACUGAAAGGAUCUAAUUGCCAUGCAAAACAGACUUUGGGAACUAUGUCAAAAAAAAAAAAAGAGAAAGAGAGAGAAGAGAGAGAAAAAGGAAUCCUAUAAUUAAUCCAAGAAUCCAUCAUUCUUUUCACAGUAUCAUGUAGCAUAAACAACUUUUAAUCAGAUAUUUCACAAAUGCUGUUUUAACAUAAUUACAAGUUUUAUAUUCUGAUAGUCUCUGCUAAUUUUUAUAUUAUACCACCUUGAUGCUGAGGACAUUAAUCCCUUUAUUCAUUUGUUUGCGCUCCUUGGUUUCUGAACCAUUGACAUUAAUAUUUUUUAUCCUAUGUUUUAAUGAUUAUAUAUAUUGGUUAAAUUCUGCAGGACUUUGAUGCACAAGUGAGACCAAAUAAUGUGAAAAUUAUUGGUGAUACUUAAAUCUGGUGUUGAGAUCUCUACAUUGAUCAAGUCGAGUAUAUGUGUGUGUGUGUGUGUGUGUACAUCCUAGGGGGGAUAUUUAUUUAUGAUGAUAAGAACCUGCCUCACUGAUUAACUUCGUGUGUAAUGAUAGUUCCUUUGGGUUUUGUUUGUUAUCCAUGAUUGGAUUGGAUAGAACAAGACGUUAUUUGGAGGUGUCAGGAGUUGCUGAGAGGAAUCCGAUCGGAUUAAAUAUCGUUCUCUUUGGAUGGGAUUGUUGAAUUCCACCACCUGAGAGGGAACAAAAACUUUAUGUGGAUGGUCCCCACAGCGAGACCAUCAAAUCCACUUUUCGUCCAUCAAGUAAAAAUGCGCGAAUCUCAUAGCGACGAAAAUGGUGGAUUUGAUGUUCUCAUCCUAGGGCCUUAUCCUUGCAGAACUUUUGUUCCUUUGGAGGUAAGAGAUAAAAUGGGAUUUCAUUCCAAAACAUUUGGUUGUAUACCACAUCAGCUCCGCUCCCUAUUCGUCGUGAUAUUCGACACCUUUGAGUCAGUAAAUCCUUUCUCUCUUUUGAUAUUUCCUAGUCAUUUUAUUCUAUUCAAUCCAAUUCAGAAUAUUAAACAAGUCUUGGCAUGUUAUAUUUUUGUCCUCGAUCUUAUGCAAACUUAACUGCUUUGCUCAUUGAUAUCUGGUACACAUGAAUGUGAAGCCAUGUUUCCAUGAAAACCUACUAGCCCAAAUAUGACCAUUCUGUUGCUAAUGAGCUUUAAACUCGAAGUAAUUUUACGUGCACUUAAGUCCUUUUUUUUGUAAAAAUCUUGUAUGUAGGUUGGUCUGAACAAGAAUUAUGGGUGAAUAAUAAUUUACAUGAAACUCGCGGAUGAAUAAGGUUGUUCGCCUGGUCGUCCCUAAAUUCUUUCGAUAUUGUUUACAAGGUUUUCUAAACUUGCGAUUUGCGUUCUAAUCUCUUCAAUCAUUAUGAGUUUCGGCGUGUAUGAUGUAGAAGAUUUUCAAUAAUUACUAAAGGAAUCAUUUGAGGUUUUUUUAAUAAAAAAAAAAGGAAAAGAAGAUCUCUAAGAUGAACCUCAUAUGGAGGGACGCAAACGCAGCAGAUCCUGGGGCGGGAGGAGUCCCCUACCUUUUGCUCCGUUUUUUUGGCGGGUUGGGACUGAUUCGAAACAAAUUAAUUUUUAUCUUAUUUUUUAUUACUACUUAUUGCUCCAUUCGAAAAUCGAAGGAAGGGUUUUUCAUCUCUUACUCAAUCUCUCACUCAAUAUUCUUAGCGGAUCGGGGCGGAUUGAGAGCAGAUUAUUGUUUUUCUUUAAUUUUGGCCCUCACCGCCGGAAGCUCCACCUAUCCGGAUCCAUUCUCAUCCUACCCAUAUGAACCUCCAUACGUACUCUUUUACCCUUUAGGGCUUGUUUGGUUCGAGAUACGAAUUGGAAUGGAUAAUGGAAUGGGAAUGAAUUAGAAUGACAAUUGGAUUGUCCCACUCUCUCAAGACGUUUGGUUUAUUUCUGGAUUGAAAAUCGAAAUGAAUUAUUUCUAUUUCACUGUUUGGUUGAUACAAAAUAAAAAAAUAAUAGAAUAACAUAAUACUAAUUUUACUUUUAAAUAUAAUUUUUUAAAACUAUCUAAAAUUUAUAAAAAAAAAAUUAAUACUACUCUCAAGUUAGAGCUAUGCCAAAAAAAAGAAAUUUAUUUUAAAAAUUUUUAUGCAAGAAAUUACAAAAAAAUGCAUAAUUUUUUUUGAAUAAAAUUAUUAUAAAAAAUAAUAUAUCACGGUUUUUUUAAUGAUGAGAAAAGAGGGAAGAGAUCGGUACAGGGAGAGAAAGGAUGAAUAAGAAAGAGAAACAUUGGGCUGGAUCUGUGGAAGAGGUGAAUGUGGGCUUGGGAUUGAAACUUCAAUCCAGGCUUAGAGACCGGAAUUAAUUUAUAAGCUAAUGGGUCAUUCCCAUUCCGAUCCGGAAUGGAAGUCCCAAACCGAUUACUGUGAACCAAACAAAAUUAGCAGGAUUUGAUCAAACCGAUUUUCAUUCCGGAUCCAAAAUGUACUAACCAAACAUGCCCUAAAAGUAGUGUGCUAAAUACAGCAUCAAGAUUAGCAGAUAUGCAGGGAAAAGAGGGAAAAAAAAAGGAGAAAGAAAGAAAAAGUCACACGAAUUGAAUUUCAGCCACACGUGUUAAGAAAGAUAAUGCAGAACCAAAAUAAAUUUUAAUUCUCAAAAACUUUUUAUGCAGAAGGCCUUAUCUUAUUUAUAUAAAAUAAGUCUUAAUUUCACUCCUUAAAUCCCUCGAUUUUAAGAAUUUUUCUAAUGCAAGCACCAAAAAUUAAAACAAAAUAGAAAAAAUUUCUAAUACUUGAUGGAAACAAGUUAGUAUCAAUUCCCUCUUUGGUAUUACCCUGCAGUUUGAUAAGAUAAGGCUACAUAUAUUUACAGACUCCAUAUUGGAGCCAGAGUCAAAAGAGUUCGAGUACCAUAAUUUCUUUUAUUCAUUUGACAUGCAAAAAUAAAAAAAAAAGGAAAAAAAAAAUCUAAUUCCAACCUCAGGACGAAAAGAAAUCUAGUGGGAAGAAAUAAGAAUAAAUAUAAAUGUUUGGAGAUGAUAAAUUUGAUGACGAGAAGAAUUAGAUAGGCUAAAUUGCACUAUUAGUUCUCAAACUAUCAACUGUGUUACAUUUUGGUACUUGAACUUUAAAUUGUAGAAAUUUUUUUGUUCAAACAUCCUAGAAUGUCGCAACCAAAUACUUCAAUACAAUUUAAUUUACUAAAUAAUGAUGUCUCGUUGAUGUGACGGUGAUACAGUAUUACUAUAGUUGAUGAAAUAUAUGAAUAAUUAAGAUGUAUCAUGUAACAUUAUCAUCACGCUAGCGACACAUUAUUAUUCAACCAACAGAAGUACAGUCACUAUAGCACUUGAUUGCAGCUAAAUAGAAAUUAGGUACCAAAAAUUAUAACAAAUUCAAAUUUGAGGACCAAAAUGUCACAGGUUGCAUAGUUUGAGGACCGAAAGUGCAAUGUAGCCAAUGAGAUAAUAUUUGGAUUAAUUAGAGUAUUAGUAGUGCGUAGGGGUGGAAACGAGCCGAGCUCGAGCGAGCUUAGCUCGGCUCAAAUUCGGCUUGAAAUUAAUUUCGAGCUUAAAUUUAAGCUCAAGCUUGGAUUGAAAUUAAUUCGAGCCAAGCUCGAGCGAGCCUGAUUUCUUGUCGAGCGAGCUCGAGCCCUAAACGAGCCGCUUGAAAUUCUCAACAUUAUACGAUCAAUAGUUUAAUUUGUAUAGAACAUUAUCUAUAAUUUAAUACAAAAAUAUGUCUAAUAGUUCAAAGUACAAAAUAAUUAUAUGAAAUAUAGUAUUAUAAUAUGAAAAAAAAAUAAUUUAUGAGUUGAAUAUCUAAUUUUUUUAGCCUCACAUGCCUUUUCUUCCGCCUUCAAUCUCUAUAUUAUUUAUUUUCAUUUAUGCAGUCAAAAAUAAAUAAAUUAUAUAGAUAAAUAUUGGAUUAAACUAUCCAAUCAUAUAUAACUAAAAUUAAAAUUUUAUAUGAAUAAUAAUUUUUUACUUUAAAAAUAUUCUGUAUAUUUUCUCAAGCAUACAAUUAAUAGCAAGAUAGGCAACAGCGGGCAUAUGAUGUUACUUGGUAACUUAGAAGGCUUCCGGCUUGGCCACUUUGGGUGAGAGACAGAAAAAGAGAAAGAGAAAAACAUAUUGAAAAUUUAGAGCUUUGUAAAAGAAAGAAAUAAAUAAAGAAAAAAUAUAUAAAUUUAGUAAAAUUUUGCUCUUUUAUUUGUCUAUUGGGUUUGUUUUUAUGAGCCAAUAACAUUGGCCCAAUUUUAACUAAACUUAAAUUAUUCACUCAGCGUAUAUAUAAUUAAAAUAUAUUAUAUUUAUAUAUUUUUUAAUAUAUAUAUAUAUAUAUAUAGUUGGAUUGGGCUACAAUUAGUAGCAAAAUCUCAUUGUUGCUACCAGUUUUUUAGCCUUUUGAUCAACUCUUUUCAUUAUUUCUAACCACUGGAUUAAAUACUAUAACCCAGUGGGGACCACUCAAACCUAGGGGGAUCACUCAACUCUAACCGACUAAUAUCAUCCUGACCCUAUAAUUUUUCAUCCAAGAGUUAACAACUUGAUAGUAAAAAGAACGUUUUACUAUUAAUAGUAUUCCAGCCUAAUUCUCUCUCUCUCUAUAUAUAUAUAGUGUAGAACUACUAUGCUUGAAAAUAUAGAGGAUUUGAUAUUUUUGAAUUUUUGACCCUUUGAUUAAAAAUUGUAUGGUUGAGAUGAUUGCGGUCUUCCCUAGGAUUAAAUAAUACUCUUAGGAUUGAGUGGUCCCUACAAGGUAAUAAUAAUAUUAAUCCAAAGCUAAGAAACGAUUAAAGGGAUUGAUCUAAGAAUCAAAAAAUCGAAAACACCAGAUCUCUAUACUUUCGAUCAGCAAUAGCUCUACUAUAUAUAUAUAUAUAUUAUAUUAUAUAUAUAUAUUUCGAGCUUUUCGAGCUUUUCGAGCCUAAUUCGAACGAGCGGUAAUACUCAAGCUCGGCUGAAAUGAAUUUCGAGUCUUUUUUUUUGUUCAAGCUCGGCUCAUUUAAUUUCGAGUCGAGCUCGAGCGAGCCAAAAUAUCGAGUCGAAGCGAGUCGAAGCGAGCCGGCUCGCUCAUUUGCCAGCCUAGUAUGUGGUGGAUGCAACAAGAUAAAAAACAAAUCAAGAUAUUGACAAAUAUUCUGGAAAUUCAAUGUGUACAGUAUUACACAUAAAAAUUGAAUCCAAAAGUUUUUUUUUCGAUCAUCCAAUGCUUAUACUACAUAUUUUUGACAUAACAAAUAUCGCAAAUGCGCAAAUUGAAAUCCUUCCAUGUAUAUGUUGAAUAAUAAUAAUAAGAAAAUAAUGUGCAAAACUUACCUGAAAUAGGACUAUUUUUGAUCGGCUAUCCAACCUUUCUAAAAUUUUAAUUAUUAUUAUCCAAUCUUUCAAUUUGUAUGAUUUGAUCAGUCAAAUAUUUUGAGCUCAAAGUUUAAGCCGAUAUUUACUUUUAAAAUUACUUUUAUAGAAUAUGAGGCGUGUGGAUGAAAGAUUGAAAUUAACCUCUUACAAGUUCUAUUAUGAAGAGCUAAAAAAAACUAAGAAAAAAAACUAUAUACAUGAUAAAAUUAGUAGUAGCGCUCAUAUUAUAUAUGAACAACUGGUCCCACGUUGAACUUUCAGAAAUACAAAACAUAUUGAGACCCGAUUGUUUACAAAUCAUUUCGUAUAAGUUCGAUAUUGAACAUCGUCGUCUUUCUGCAUUAGACUGUGUGGGGAUAAUGUUGUAACCUUGCUUCCUGGUACCUAUAUAAUUGCGAGCUCUCCUAUGAUGACUCCUUGUAGGCUAAUGCUGAGAUACAUGCAUGCAGCGAUGCAGGUCACGACACCGCCAGGAUGCACGAUUAUUCCAGGCCUGGUUUUUUAUUUCGUAUUUAGAUAAUAAUUUUUCUGUUGCCGUGUAUGUUUAAUUCGUUUGGGAUAUAUAUAGUGCUAUAUUAUGGUGCCUAUGCGAACAUCUUUAUCAGUUUUCAAUAUUAAAGACGCGAUUUAUUUUGAUUUUGAUCUCUUAUUCUUUGGGUGAAACGAGCGGCGUCGGACGACUUAGCUCGGUCAAAUUUACGCUUGAAAUUGAAUUUCGAGCUUAAUUUAGCUCAAGACUUGGAUUGAAUUAUAUUCGGAGCCGAAGCUUUGACGAGCCUGAUUCAGUCGGCAGCCUCGAGCCCUAACGAGGCCUUGAAAUUUCAAAUGUAUACGAUCAUAGUUUAAUUUGUAUAGAACAUUAUCUAAUUUAAUGUACAAAAUAUGUCUAUAUGUUCAAGCUUACAAAAUAAUUAUAGAAAUAUAGUAGUAUAAUUAAUAUGAAAAAAAAUAAUUUAUGAGUUGAAUUAUCUAAUUUUUUAGCUCCAUUGUCACUUUUUCCGCCUUCAUCUCUUAUUUAUUUAUGUUCUUUAUGCCAGUCAAAAUAAAUAAGUUAUAAUAAUAUUGUUGUAAAUCUAUCCAUAUCAUAUAUAAUAAUUAAAAUUUUAUAUAAAAAUAAUUGUUAUUACGUUAAAAUAUGUUAUUGUAUGUUUCUCAAGCAUACAUUAUAGCAAGGUAGGCAAGAAGGGAUAGAUGUAUGAUGGUAACUUAAAGCACUUUGAGUGUGAGAAGGAAAAUAGGAAAGAAAAACAUAUUUGAAAAUUUAGAGCUUUGUAAAGAAAGAAGAUAAUAAAGAAAAUAAUAUAAUUUGUAAAUUUUGCGUCUUUUAUUUGUUUUAUUGGUUUGUUGUUUAUGAGCCAAUAACAUUUGGCAAUUUUUAACUAAACUUAAAUAUUCACUCAGCGCUUUAUAUAAUUAAAAUAUUUAUAUGUUCUAUUAUAUUUUUAGAAUAUUACUAAUAUAUAUACUUAGUUGGAUUGGGCUACAAUUGAUGUAGCAAAAUCUCUUGUUGUACCGUUUUUUAGCUUUUUGAUCAACUCUUUUAUUUAUUUCUAACCAUGGAUUGAUCUAUUACUUCCAAGUUGAUUUUGAAAGGCAGUAAUUUUCAGCCAAAGCGCAGCACUCAAACUUAGCGGGUAAAUUAAUACCAAUUUAAAAAACGCGAUAACUAAUCUAUUCACUCUUGUAACUGUGAACUAUCAUUUUAUCACCAUUAUUUGAGAAAAGUAUUGUCUCUAAGAAGAGUAGCGUUUUUUUAAAUCAUUAUGUAUUCAGUGGGAAAUUUCUCGCUCUCUUCUGAACGAUUAUUUGAUUGUCGAAAUAUAUAUAUAGUGUAGAAAUUGCUUAGCUAUAAAAUAUAGAGAGACUCUCGAUAAUUAAUUAGUAGACUUUUGACGUAUGAGAUUAAACAAUUGUAUGCUUUGAGUGCUUGGGUCUUCUCGAAUUAGGAAUCAUAAAUAGUGACUGAUUUAGCAUUGUAAUGUGUGUAUCUUUGUAAAGAGUCAAUCAUGUGUAUUAAUCUCUCAAAAUUAAAGUUAAGAAAUGACGUAUGAUUUAAGGCGCUAGUUGUAUUUAAUAGCUAGAUACAAAAAAUUAGAAGAAACACAUUUGAUCUCGUCUAUGAUUUAAGUGCAGAUUUGCAUGAGAUUAGCCUCAUACCUUGCCUGAGACGUCCGGAUCGACUGUAAACAAUACUACAUAACUACUAUGCCUAAUAUGCCUAUAUGCCCCUAUAGCGUUUGAUUACUUCUAAUAUAUUAUUAUAUGCCCCCUAAUAUAUGAUAUCUCUAGCAUUAAUUCAAAGUUUCAUUCGCAGCCAUUUAACGAGACGGUAUUAUUAUCAAGUCUCGGCUUGAAAUGAAUUUCGAGUCUUUUUUUUUGUUCAAGCUCGGCUCAUUUAAUUUCGAGUCGAGCUCGAGCGAGCCAAAUAUCGAGUCGAACGCGAGUCGAACGCGAGCCGGCUCGCUCAUUUGCCAGCCCUACAUAAGAGGGAUAAAGUUGGAAUUUAAAUACUAAUUAACUUUAAUUUAGAUAGAAAUUUGAUGGUAGGGUUAUUUUUGAAAGUUUUUCAAAUUUGGGGGCUAUACAUGAUAUUUUAAUUUUGAGUAAUGCUUCUAUACUUCUUUUUUUUUGGUUACCGUUCAUUCACGCGUAUUCAACGCCUCAGAUUUAGUUUUUUUAAAAUUGUGACCUGCAAUAGCAGGUCACUUUGGGAGAGGUACCGGUUACCAGGUACCUCAAAAAAAGAUAUUUUUAUUUUUUAAUACAUGAGCAAUUUAGUCAUUUUAUCUACUAUAUUUUCAAAAUUUUUAUUUUUUCUCUUUGUUUUCUUUUUCUCUCUCUAUCUUUCCUUUCAUAAUUGGGCAUUUCAUAUAAGAAAAAUUUCAAAUGAUUUGACGAUAUGAUCAUUUAAUUUAAACUUUAAAUAAUAAUAUGAAAUUCCUCUAAUUUAAAUUUCACUUUUAAAUUUAAAAUUUAAUAUUAUAUUCAAAUUUAUAUUUUAAAAAUUUAAGUUUCAUAUAAAUAUUUUGAAAUAUGGUAAACAAAAAUAAUUAUUCGAAUUCUAGUCUUCUGGUUUAGGUUUGGUUUUGGGUUUCAAAAAAUUGGUCAGUUUUGAAUUUGAAUAUGGAAUUUUGAAAUCCAUCGAGUUCGGAAAUAAGUUUUGUGGUUGUUAGUCAUAUUCGAAUUCAAAUUCCUAACUAUUUUUUUUCUCACCAAUAAUUCUAAUCUUUUUAAUUUAUAUGUAUAAAAUUAUAUUUAAAAUAUUUAUUAGCUCUAACAGUUAAAUUAUCAUUCUGUUUAAAAUAUUUAUUAUCUUUACCGAUUCCAAAUUGUUCUUAAUGUUAUUCGGUUUAAUAGGUUAAAAUCAGAUUCUUGAUAGAAUAGGUCAAAGUCUGAUCAGUCAAAUCAAUCGGUUCAAUCUAGUUUUUAAAUCAUUGAAUUUAAAAUUUAAAUAGUAAUAUGAAAUUUCUCUAGAGAANAAAUCUAGUUGUAGAAAUCUUACUCUCUAAGUUUUUUAUGCAUUACGUUUUAAACUGGUGCGAAUAAACUGUAUUUUAAAUCUUGGUAGAAAUUUAGUUUUUAAAUAGUAAUAUGAAAUUCCUCUAAUUUAAAUUUCACUUUUAAAUUUUAAGUAUUUAAUUUUUAAAAUUUAAAUUCAUCGUAUUUAGAAAUAAAACUAUUUCUAAAAUUUUUAUAAUUUAAAUUAAUGCAUAAUUUGAGAAACACUAAAACAUUUAAAGUAGAUUCCUAAAUUAAUGCCUAAUAAUUGCAUAAAUUUGGUUAAUCAAUUAAUUUCCUAAAUUAGUGCUAAUUAAUGCAUAAAUUUAGGAACUCAAUUAAAAGUUUCUUUAAAUAUUGUAUUAUUUAAUGACCAAACUAAUGUUGAAUAAAAUAAUCAUUUUACCUGCUAAGUAUUAAAGUUAUAUUUUUACCCUCUAUUAAUCAACGGUUAAGAUCUUUUUUAUUUUUUUUAAAAAAAGUACCGAAUCAUUUCUCUUUAAUUUUUAGAUGAAUAUUUAUGAAAUUAGAUGGUUUAUAAGGGUAUGGUCGUAUGGAGAAAAUUUUCCCCACCUAUUAUGACUGGAGAAAAAGGGUGGAAGAUGGCUGAAGACGAAGAUCUCUUCGAAGAUGCUUGUUCAGACCUCAGAGUCAUUGCCCUUGUCCCUUUCUUGGAAUUAGUGCUCCUCAGACCUGACUUGCCUCUGAAAUGAGUAUCUUUUCUUAUUAUUCUCCAUUUAUCUCAAUUUAUCUCUAUACUUUUAAAAAUAUGUAAGUAUUUAUAUUUGUGAUUUUUUAGCCGCCGGCUCGCCCAGUACUACUAAGGAAGACUUAUGGAAUAUAUUGCUAAUAAUGCUGUAUGGAUUUUAAGGCGAUUCGACGUUUUGAACGACGCAAGCACAAAUGUUCGUGUGCUUUUAGAAGCGCAGGAGUUCAACUCCUCUUUCACAUACAUAAUUUUUUGAAUGUUUUUAAAGUAAAUCCAUAAAAAAAUUUAUAAUUUGACAAAUAAUUUUAUCAAAAUUUUAUUUGGUCAAAUAAUUUUAUUUCAUACAAAUCAGCAUUAGAAUGAAAAAAUAAUUAAAAAACGAUGGAUCAUUCGUCAUUAUUAGUAUGGAAAAAAUAACCUAUAUAAAAUAAAUUUGUAAAUAACGAUAAUAAUCUGAAAAUGAAAAGUGAUUCAUCGUCUUUCUUAUUUUUAUUUCUCAUUUUUAUUUAGCAUGGCAGCAAGUUAGCAAUAAAAGAAUUUUAUGACUAACUAAAAUUUUAGAAGAAUUAUAUUAGCCAAAGAAUUUUUUAAAAAAUUUUAGAAAAAGUCCUAAUUUUUUUUAGCAAUGCUAACAUGUACCUCCAAAAGUGAUGAAACUCUGACAGAUUUCCAUCCAGUUUCUUUUUUUUUUCCCCUCCUUUCUUUUUUGCAGUAUUCCGAUCACGCUUCUUUUGUUUUAAAAGUAAAAUUCUAAAAAAGCUAUUUUAACUCCUGAAUAAAUUAAAUAUAAGAUUUACACCCAACUUGCUAAUUUUUUAUUCAAAUUUUCAGAAUUAUUAUAAUUAAGUUUAAUUUAGUUGACCAAAUUUAUAGACUUAGCUGGAACAUGUGAAUCAAUUAGAAUUCGAACUUAGUACCUCGGUAUCAACUAUUAAAUUAUUUGCCAAUUGCGUCGGAACCGUCAAUGGUACGCUAUUGUUUAGAAUUUAAAAUUAGGAUGGGAUGGAUGGUGAUGGGACCGAGUCGUGGACCUGGUCUACUAGGAAUAUCUCAAAAAAAAAAAAAAAAAAAAACUCUUCGACAAGCCCUAUGUAAUAAAGUCAAGCCCAUCACUGUACAAAUUGGCGACAUGGAAAUUAAGCCACUAAAUUAGUUGGAAUAAAAUAUCGGGUAAAUUACAACUACGGCCCUCAAACUAUGAGAGCGCUGACACUUCGGUUCUCAAACUUUAAUUUAUUAUAAUUUUUUACUAAAAUUUUAGAAUUAUUGCAAUUAUAUUCAAUUUAGUUGACCAAAUAUUAAUAUAUUGCUAAUACAAAGUAAUAUAGGGGUGCUGUAAUUGAUAAUACUCCGAAAAUUAAGAUAACACAUUAUUUUUACAUCGUCAAUACGUCAAUAUUCAGUUAAUUAAAUUAGGGUAUGGAACUUAAUUGCAAUAAUUUUAGAAGUUCAAAAUAAAAAUUAUUAUAAAUUAAAAUUUGAGGACUAAGAAAUCAACUGGCUCAUAGUUUGAGGUCCGCAUGUGCAAUUUACCUAAGUUAUUUGGAUGGAGUGACACUCUUUCUAAAGAAUUUUUUUAAAAUUUUUUUAAAAAGUCCUAUAUCUUAUUUUAACAAUGCUAACAUGUACAUUCAAAAGAGAUGUAAAUCUGACUGAUACCGACUGUCCCUAAAGCAAGUGACAAAGGACUUGAUAGUUGAUAUCCGCGGUUAGCAUGCUACCUAUCUCUCUCAAAAAAAAAAAAAGUAAAUCUGACCGAUUUCCAUCCAGGUUUUUUUUUUCUUUUUUCUUCCUUUCUUUUUUGCAGUAUUCUUAUCACGCUUCUUUUAUUUUAAUAGUAAAAUCCUAAAAGGGCUAUUUUAACUCUUGAAUGAAUUAAAUAUAAUAUUUACACCCAAUUUGUCAGCAUACGAUGUAGCAUUUUUCAUGAUUUUUUCAAAGUAGAAAAGAUAUAAAAUUUGUAGUGGCGUAUAUGAUUUAUAAGAUUUUAAAUAAUUUAUAAAGGAAUCAUUUGAGUUUUUUUUUAAAACAAAAACAAAGGAAAGAAGAUCUCCGUAUAUGGAGGGAUGCAAACGUGACGGCUCCUGGGACGAGAAGAGUCCCCUUCCUCGUGCUCCAUUUUUUUGACGGAUUGUGAUUAAUUUGGAAUAGAUUAAUUUUUAUCUUAUUUUUUACUCCUCCUUACUGCUCCAUUCAAAACUCAAAGGAAGGAAGAGUUUUUCGUCUCUUCCUCCAUCUCUCACUCAAUAUUCUUGACGGAUCAGGACGGAUUGAGCGCAUAUAUUUUUUUUCUCUAAUUUUGGCCCUCACUUAUCGUCGGGAGCUCCAAUCCGUAUCCAUUUUCAUCCUACUCAUAUGCACCUCCAUACAUACUCUUUUACCCUAUUUUAAAAAUAGCGUGCUAAAUACUGCAUCAAGAUUAGCAGAUAUGCAGAGAAAAGAGGGAAAAAAAAGAGAAAGAAAGAAAAAGCCAUACAAAUUGAAUUUCAGCCACUAGUGUUAAGAAAAAAAAUGCAGAACCAAAAUAAAUUUUAAUUCUCAAAAACUCUUUACGUAGAAAGCCUUAUCUUAUUUAUAUAAAAUAGGUCUUAAUUUCACUCCUUAAAUCCCUCGAUUUUAAGAAUUUUUCUAAUGCAAGCACCAAAAAUUAAAACAAAAUAGAAACAAAUUCUAAUACUUCAUGGAAACUAGUAUCAGUUCCCUCUUUGGUAUUACCCUACACUUUGAUAAGAUAAUGCUACAUAUAUUUACAGACUCCACAUUGGAGCCAGAGUCAAAGAGUUGGAGUACCAUAAUUUCUUUUAGGCUAAAUUACAGAAAACCUCCCUGUAAUAACCCGCUUUUUCACUUUCCCCCCUUGACAUUUAAAAACCUACACUUUGCCCCCUUGUAAAAUGAAAAAUGUUCACAGGGGGGUCACGGUGUGUAAAAUGACCAUUUUGCCUCUCGCCAUUGUUGUCUUCUUCCUGAGCUUCCUCAGCCGCCCCUUCGAUCCGCCGCUAUUUCCACCUCAAUCGGCCACGAUUCCUCUCCAAUUUCUUCUCCACCUGCUCUCCUUCUCCUCCUACAUCGUCGCCGCCCAUCGAUUUCGGCGACAGUAGGGAGGAUACUAAGAUAGGUGUUGAUGGAGAGGUAGGCAGGGACAACGAGGGCGAAGGCGAGGUGGCGGAGGAGAACGAAAGGGAUGUGGGCGAGCGCGAAGCAGUGGAGGACGGCGAGGCGGCGAGGCGGCGAAGCGGCGAGCCGGAGGGAGCGAAGCAUCAGAGAAGAGGCAGAGGGGUAUUUUCGGUAUAAAAAAAUAUUUUUUAACAGAACCCCUAACGGAACCCUAACGGUAGGGGUGAAAUGCACAUUUUUCAUUUUACAAGGGGGCAAAGUGUAGGUUUUUAAAUGUCAGGGGGGAAAGUGAAAAAGCGGGUUAUUACAGAGGGGUUUUCUGUAAUUUAGCCUUUCUUUUAUGCAUUUGACAUGCAAAAAGUAAAAAAAAUGAAAAAAAAAAAAAGGGGCGGGGUGGGAAAGAAAUCUACGUGGGAAGAAAUAAAAAUAAAUAUUUGGAGAAGAUAAAUUUGAUGAUGAGAAGAAUCAAAUAGGCUAAAUUGCACUGUUGGUCCUCAAGCUAUUAAUUUGUUAUAAUUUUUUUUUUUCAAACUUUUUAGAUUGUCGCAACCGAGUAUUUCAAUGCAAUUUAGUUAAGUAAAUAAUGGUGUCUCUGGCAGUGAUACAGCAUUAUUAUAGUUAAUGGCGUAUAUGAAUAAUUAAGAGGCAACAUUAUCAUCACAUUAUUAUUCAACCAACAAAAGUACACUCAUUAUGGCACUCGAUUGCAACUAAAUAGAAAGUACGUAGGGGCCGUUUAGUUAGAUGUAAUUAUAAAUAUAGUGUAGUUAAAGAUGCAAAUAAUUAAAAAUACAGCAGUUAUAACUAUAUGAAUCUUAUUUGGUUGGAUGUAGUAGAAAGCGCUACAAGUAUAAAUAAUUUAUUUGGUUGCAUUAAGUUGAGAAAUAAUUUUUAAAAUUUUAUUAUUUUAUAAAUAUAAUGGUGAGAUUACCUCCAAUGUAAAAAAGAAAAAUAAUUUUUGUUUUAAAAAUAUUGAGGAGGUAAGCAUAUCUUUUGUUUAAAGUUAUUCUCUCCAACUACUGUAGUUGGAACUAUGGCCAAUUUGGGCGUAGUUCGAACUGCUACAGUUGGGCCUCCUCCUGUAGUAGUUGGAGGUAAAUACAUCAAACAAAACACGAAAUUUGCAUUUACAUGCAGUUACAACUGCAAUACACCUGCAAUUACAUGCAACCAAAUAGCCCCUAAAUAUUAUAACAAAUUCAAAUUUGCGGACCAAAAUGCCACCGGUCCCAUAGUUCGAAUGAAUCGAUGUCAAUGUUUACAAGAACCAAAACCGGAACAAUAUUAGACUACUCAGUUGCGCCUUAACAAUAUAACUUUGCAAGGAGUACUUUUUCUCAUUCUAUCGAACAAAGAGUAAAAUCUAAUUAUAUUGUUCUAUUAUGCUCCGAGAGAGUAAAUUUGGAACUAAUCGAUGUCAACGUUCAUAAGAACCAAAAUCGGAACAACAUUAGAUUACUCAGUUACGUCAUAACAGUAUAACUUUGCAAUGGGUACUUUUUUCCAUUCUAUUGAAUAAAGAGUAAAAACUAAUUAUAUUGUUCAAUUAUACCCCGAGAGUUAUAAUUUCGAACAAAUCGAUGUCAACGUUAAUAAAAAUCAAAACCGGAACAACAUUAGACUACUCAGUUGCGCCAUAACAGUAUAACUUCGCAACGAGUACUUUUUCUCAUUCUAUCGAACAAAGAGUAAAACCUAAUUAUAUUAUUCUAUUAUGUCCCGAGAGUGUAAAUUUAGAACGAAUCGAUGUCAACCUUCAAAAGAACCAAAACCGAAAUAACAUUAGACUACUCAGUUGUGCCCUAACAGUAUAAUAUUGCAACGAGUAUUUUUUCUCAUUCCAUCGAACAAAAAGUAAAAACUAAUUAUAUUGUUCUAUUAUGCUUCGAGAGUUGUAAUUUCGAACGAAUCGAUGUCAACGUUCACAAGAACCAAAACCGGAACAACAUUAGACUACUCAGUUGCACCCUAACAGUAUAACUUUGAAUGAGUACUUUUUCUCAUUCUAUUGAACAAAGAGUAAAACCUAAUUAUAUUAUUCUAUUAUGCCCCGAGAGUGUAAAUUUGGAACGAAUCGAUGUCAACCUUCACAAGAACCAAAAUCGGAAUAACAUUAGACUAUUCAGUUGCGCCCUAACAGUAUAAAUUUGCAACGAGUACUUUUUUUCAUUUUAUCGAACAAAGAGUAAAACCUAAUUAUAUUGUUCCAUGAUGCCCCGAGAGUGUAAAUUUGGAAUGAAUCGAUGUCUCAAUCAACGGCGGUUGAGUAACCACAAGCACGCUAAGUUUUCCGUCGACUUCCUACUUAGCGCAUCCGCCACCACGUUAGCCUUACCCGGGUGGUAAAGUAUCGUCAAAUUGUAAUAUUGAGUAGCUCCAACCAUCUGCGCUGCCUCAAGUUCAACUCCUUCUGAGUGAAUAAAUACUUUAAACUCUCGUAACCCGUAUAUAAUUCGCAUCGCUCACCGUACAGGUAAUGGCGCCAUAGCUUCAAUGCAAAGACCACCACCGGCGCCAACACAUUGUCACCUCGACAUCACCGGCGCCGGCACAUUGUCAAAAUUAAUUUUAAAUUUAAAUUUUGUUCAAAAAUUUUAAUGUGAAUUCAUUAACUUAAAAUUUAAAAUUAAUUCAAAUUUUAAAAUUUGUAUACACGUUAAAAUUAAUUGUAUAUUAUAAAAUAAAUAUGAAAAGUAUUUAUAGUGUAACUAAAUUAAAAAUAUAUAAAACUUAUCCGAAGAUAAAUUAAAGUUAAAAUUUGAUAAAUAGACUCAUACCACCAAUAACUAUUUAAAUUUAAAAUAUAAAUAUAAAUUUUAUUUAAUUUAAUGUGACGUGCGUUGCACGUGCACUAUGACUAGUAUUUCAAAAAUAUAAACUUUUGGAUAGUGAAUUGAUUAUAAAAAAUUCUUCAAAUAUAUCCUUAUCUCUAAGAUUUACUAAUAACACUUAAAUUUUAGAAAGAUAUAUUUAAAAAGAAAGGAUAAAUUUAAAAAUUUUAAAUGAUAAAUAAGAAUAUAAAAGCAAAAGUCCUAAUAAUAAAUUAUCUUUUCUUCCUAUUCAUCAAUAAAUAUUAAAACUGUUUUUUUAUUUUAUUAUUAAAAAGAAUAAAUAAAUCCAACUCAAACCGACCUUGCUUUUAAGCGUGGAAAACAUCCUUCGUUCCUAGAAACUUCUCAACCAAUCGUAUCCUGCCACGCGUCCUCUCCUAGUAAAUCCCGCGUCCCGAUGACUCGUUCUCGUAUCCGAAACCGACACGGCUGAGGAGGCCACCAACGUCUAUAAAUACCCAAACGAUCCCGACCCUUUCCUCCGUCCUCGCAUCAUCUCCAUGGCGGUCGGUAGGGUUACGAAUUUGUGAUCGCUAGGGACUAGGGAUGCGAAUUGUGAUCGCUAGGGUUUCAAUCUAGUUUUCCAUCGUGAUCGCUAGGGUUUCGACCUACGGUUCUUCUUUGUUGUUUGAUCGUUGUUGUUUGUGAUCGUUGACGAGUUUUUUGAAGGACCUGGCAUGGCGGAGUUUGGGAUGUUCUAAGCCCUAUCUUCUCGAUGAUCGCUAGGGUAAUACCGUUCAUCGCUAGAAUUUCGACAUAUGAUUCGUCAGCUUUGUUGUUUGAUCGUUGAUAUUGGUGAUCGUUCAUGAGUCGUUGUUGUUUGUGAUCGUUGAUGAGUUUUUUGAAGGGUCUAGCAUGGCGGAGUUUGGGAUCUUCUAGGCCGUAUCGUCUGCAUGGCGACCGCCAGGGUAAUUUCGACAUAUGAUUCUUCAUCGUUGUUGUUUGAUCGUUUUUAUUGGUGAUCGUUCGUGAGUGGUUGUUGUUUGUGAUCGUUGAUGAGUUUCUUGAAGGGUCUCGUAUGGCGGAGUUUGGGAUCUUCUGGGCCGUAUCGUUUCCGUGGCGACCGCCAGGGUAAUAUCGUUCGUCGCUAGAAUUUCGACAUAUGAUUCUUUGUCCUUGUUGUUUGAUCGUUGUUAUUGGUGAUCAUUCAUGAGUCGUUGUUGUUUGUGAUCGUUGAUGAGUUUUUUGAAGGAUCUGGCAUGGUGGAGUUUGGGAUCUUCUGGGCCUUAUGGUCUCCAUGGCGACCGCCAGGGUAACAUCGUUUGUCACUAGAAUUUCGACAUAUGAUUCUUCAUCGUUGUUGUUUGAUCGUUUUUAUUUGGUGAUUGUUCAUGAGUCGUUGUUGUUUGUGAUCGGUGAUGAGUUUCAUGAAGUAUCUCGCAUGGCAGAGUUUGGGAUCUUCUAGCCCCUAUCGUCUCUAUGGCGAUCGCCAGGGUAACAUCGUUCGUCACUAGAAUUUCGACAUAUGAUUCUUCAUCGUUGUUGUUUGAUCGUUGUUAUUGGUGAUCGUUCAUGAGUCGUUGUUGUUUGUGAUCGUUGAUGAGUUUUUUGAAGGAUCUGGCAUGGCGGAGUUUGGGAUCUUCUGGGCUCUAUCGACUCCAUGGCCAUCGCCGGGGUAAUAUCGUUCCUCGCUAGAAUUUUGACUUAUGAUUCUUUGUCCUUGUUGUUUGAUGGUUGUUAUUGGUGAUCGUUUAUAAGUUGUUUGAAGGAUCUCACAUAACCACGCUUGAUAUCUUCAACACACUAUCACCUACAUGGCGUUCGUUAUGGUAACAUCGUGGUUGUAAGAGUUUUGAUGUAGGAUUCUUUUGUGGCUGUUAGAUCGUGGUGUUUUCUGUGAUUGUUGAUUAGUUUUUUUUUUUUUGAGGGAUUUGUGUGGCGGCUGGGAUCUUCGGCGUGAUCGUUUCAUAUGAGCUUAAUGCGAUGCUGUUAGUUCUCAUACGUCGUUCUCUAAUGGUAUAUACGAAAUUGUUAGCCUGUUUGAUUUGAUGUCCGUGUCAGGUUUAUUGAUUAUGAAGUGGAGUGAUUCAGAUUUGAUCUGAUACUCGUUCAGUAGCAGAGGAAUUUAUCAAAUUUGGAGUAAUUUUAUGUUUUUGGAUUCGGUCUUUUGUGGUUUUACUUGAUGGUUUUGUUAUGAGGUUUCUAUUAAUCUGGUUUAUUAUUUAUAUUCAGGUUUGGUGGAUUUUUUGUUCUUGUUUGUAGCAGAUGAAUUUGAUGGAUUCGUGGAUUGCGUCUUUUGUUGGUUUUACUUGAGAUUUGGUUCAAUUUGCUAUCAAUGGGUGUUUUUGAUGUUAUGAUUAAGAGGAUUCUUCUAUUAGCUUUACAAAGAGAUGAAUUUGAUGGAUUCGUGGAUUGCAUCUUUUGGUGUUCGGUCUUUUGUUGCUUUUACUUGAGAUUUGGUUCAAUUUGCCAUUAAUGGGUGUUUUUUGAUGUUACGAUUAAGAGGAUUCUUCUAUUAGCCUUUGUUCUUUCUGUUGGACUUUCUGGGCUCCUGAUUGUCAGCGAGUUCUUUAAUGGAGAGGAGUAAUUUAAAAGGUUUUUCAUGUGGUCUUUUUUGGUAUCUACUUUAUGCGAUCAUCAUGUACUGUUGGAUAUUAAAUUUUGGCCUGUUGAUUAUUGUUGAUAUCAAGUGUUUUUUGUUCCUCUUCUUGCCUAGAGUGAUCUAAUGAUCUCAAAAGAACAGGGGAAGUGGCAGAGUAUAGUGAUAAGUGACUAUUAGAGGUGAUUGAAGAGAUGAGUGGCAGGGAUCAACACUUACCAUAGCAGGCUAGCACAUGCAGGACCAUUGGGAUUUGGAUGCCUUGCAAUGUUGGUGAUAUAACCUCUAUAACAAAUGAAUUUCUACUUUAAUAGUUGGAUGCUUUGCAACAGUGAUCAAUUUCUAGUUUUAACACUUGGAUCUGCAGUCAUUCAUAAACUUUACUCCUCGAGCUUGUAGUUCUUUUGUACAGCCAUCUAAAGUGCAGAUUUGAAAGCCUUUUGCACUAUACUGUCAGCAUUGGUGUCUACAAGCUUAUGCGAAGAGCAGGAGUAGUGUUGAAUCAUAAUAGGAAAAACUUCAGGGAAGCCAACUUAUGGUAUAGCGCAUUUUCUGUUUGCCGUUUAAAAUGCACUUGCUCUAUUAUAGUUUCAGUUUAUGUUUUUCUUAAGGACCUGCUAUUAUGAAGGUUGUCUGAGUGUUAGAUUUUAUCAGCUAUGAAGUAGUGAAGUGCAAAUCAUAGGGUGGUGAAGUGCUAUAUUUUAUCAACCUGUUAUUCAUGGAACGUAUAACUGUCUUAUCCUUUUAAUAGCAGGUUCGUACAGAAAUCUAAGGCAAAAUCACAGGGGGUUGAAAAAUUCUACAAUUUGGAACUGCUGGGCAGUGCAAAUGUUAUUACAGCAGGGAUCUUUCUGACGCUUUCCCUAAUUUCUAGUAAUAGUUGUUCUACCUGAUUAUAGAGACUAUAGUCUCCUUUAUGUUUUGCUUUCAUUUUUGAUUCUGCAUUGCUUGUUCAUGGAAAUUAUUUGUCUAGUAGGAUCGGGAGUCUGUCCAAGUUGCUUACAACUCUUCUGUGCCUAGGGAGCUUUCAAAGCUUGCUUGGUCAAGGAUUAUUCUGUAUCUUUCUCAGCAACUUGUUGAUAUAUCUCGUUCUUUUUUAUGAUUUCUGGUAUCUGCUUGGUUCUGUUUAUCACUUGACUUGUCUUUGUUGGAGUUUUAGAGUUAAAGGAUGAUUUAAUAAAGAGAGAGGCACGACAAUAAUGGUCAUCGACUUGCCUUUCUUUUAACCUUUUCAAAGUCAAGAUGAGUUGAUGAAGAGGCAGGUGCGGCUACAAUGGUCAUUGACUAGCCUUUGUUGCCAGAGAAGGAUCUAAUGAAGUUAUGGUUAUAUCACCUUUAUGUGUAGCUGGUCUUAUCAUACUGAUGCAAGGGUGAGCUCAAGUAGAUUGGUGAUUUUAUCAUAUAUAAGUAGCAUUCCAGUAUAUUGGUGAUAUGCACUCUCUAACUUUUCUUUCCACUGCAGUUGGUGGAGCAGUAGCACACUUGUUUCUAUUGUCACUUUUCUAGCUUGAUUAUCUCCUAUCCACUUUAUGCAGAUUUAUUUCUUGUAGCACUUUUGAAGUCUACCAAUCAAAGUUGCUUUAGAUGAAGAGGUAAAGGGAUUCUUCAAAAUUGUUUCCUUUUUUGAUUUCUACCAUCAAGUUUUUUGCUGUUCUCUCUCCAUUUGCUGACUUGUUAUUUUGUCGAAGUUGCUCAUCAUAAUCUUCUUUGAAAAGAUACAAUACUGUGAUCCCUAUUCUAUUUCAACAAUUCUUGUUGUUUCAGUUGUCUCUAAGGUUCUUCUUGAAGGUCAUUUUACGGAGUUUGCUUGUCAGAAAUGUAAUACUGAUUUUCUUCGUUGGUAGUUAUUCUCGCUUUUUUACCGAGUUAUUCUUCGUUGGCAUGUGCAGUGGAGCUCAAAGGUUUUGAAGUUAAAUUUAAUGAUCCUAAUGGGAAGCUCAUCUAUUUUGGUGUGAUAUUGAUGGAUCUUAAGUUCUCUGCGGUUCAUAUAAUUAUCCUUAUAAAGAGGAGGCUAAGCUGUACUGGUGAUACUGAUUUUGCCAUGACGUCUCUGAGUAGUUUGAUUAUUUAGGUUAUAUACAAAUUGGCAUUAACAGUACUAUUGAGUUCAUGAAGCAAUUGCUUAUUUGCUUAUGGUUGCUUAGUUCGUCUUAGACGGCAGAUGGACUUUAUACUAGUUAUUUUGGUUAAUAUCUACCUGUCUGUUUGGCCAAUACGGUUAUAUCUACUUGCUUUUGUGAAGUUGAUCUCUCUUCAUUUAUAAUUCUUGAUUUCUUUGACCCUGCUUUUCGCUUUUGUUAGGAUGGUUCUUGAAAAUCAUUUUUAACUAUAUUGAGCAUGCUCUGUUAUAAUGUUGAUGUCACCUUGCAAGUCUCUUAAUUUUUUUUUCCUCUUUUUUUCUUGGAUUUACAAUUUAUUCUGACUGUCUAUUUGGAAUUGAAAUAUUGUGGACUCAAAAGAAUCUUGCAGCUUUUAUAGUCACGGAUUGUUUUGUUGAGCUCUGAUGUAGAAUUAUAGCUUUGAUCAAAAUUGUAAGGUAUGCUUGUAUUUGUUCUGCCAGUGCUCAUUUAUGUAGUGAUCUUACGAGCUGGCAUCUCUACCUUGUGCGAAUGUGGCGGUGUUAUUCGGGUCUGACAAAAGAAAAUUCAACUAACAUUCUUAUCGGUCCUGCAUAUUAUUAGUACAUUUCACCUUCAUUCUUGUUAGGCCUAUUCUCUGUGGUCAUUUUACCAGUGGAGUCCAAUAUGUGAUCAAGUUGUGCAUGAAUCUUUUGUCCUCACAAUUCCAAUCACCGGUUUGUCUAAAUGCUUUGCUUAGGAAUUUCUGCUAAUUGUUAGUAUCACUAUGGCUUUUAUUGGCAUUUAUCGCUUGAUCUGCAUGAUUUUGUUGUGAGUUGCCAAUGGAAAGGGAGGAGCAGCUACUGUUGAUGGUGAUUUUAUGUCAGGUUGUGAUUGGAGUUAAACAUACAGAAAAGGAUUCUACAAUAUAAUGGCGGUAUUGACUUGCUUUAUAAUGAUUCUGUUUUCUGUUUGAAUUUUGGCAUAUGCAUUUUCUUUUACUGGUCUUGUUUCUGAAACUUGUUGCACAAGUUGGUUAUCACUGUCCAUUAUGCUCGUUUGUUCGAAAAUUUUCUAGUAUAUCUGUGUAGUUAAUGGAAUUCGUUUCUACUGGCUUUUGUUUAUUGACAGUAUUUGGGAGUAACAGAGGGAUUCUAAAAGACAUCUUUGUUCAGUAUCAGAUAUGAGAUGGGGAUGCUUCAGAUUACCUUCUUCCAUAGAGAUGGAAUUCUCAAAGAAGAAACCAUUUCUCUGUUCUCUAGUUUGAUCAUUCAAAUUAUUCCAGUUCAAUUUCUCUGUGAGUUCUUGAUAAUCUAAAUCGUUCAUUUUCUAGGUCAAUGAACUGGUUGUGAUGCUUUCCUCUCAAGUAGAGUUCGAACUGCUCCCUUAUAACACAAAAUUUAGGUUGUAUCUACUAGCAUUUCCAUUGUUAAGUAUCAGCAUUAAUGAACAGUUAGCUGAUUACUCAUUCUACAGUUGUUCUUUUGUCAUGUCUUUCUUUUGGGAAAGAGGAAGAGACCUUUUCCCGCUGUCAUGUCUUUCUUUUGGAAAGAGGAAGAGACCUUUUCCUGUGUGUUGAAUGUUGAUCAUUCAAAUUACUACAGGUAAAUCUCUGGACAUUCAGUUAGAUUGUUUCUGCAUUGAGUUUCAUUCUCCUUGAGUUGGUGCUGUCUUUCUUCACAUGUUUAUUCAAUGGUUCUUGGUUGUUGGUUAUUUCUAUAGAUUUCUGUUGCACCAUUUACCUACCAUCUUAUCAAGGUGAUGUUGUGGGUUUGUCGUGAUCUAUAGAUGAAAAUAUGACUUCAUGUCUUGUUUCGUGACGCUGCUAGAGUCUUGGGGCAACUGACUUGUUCUUGGGAUGGUAUGUCAAGGUAAUAAUCUGGGUUUUCUAAGUUUGUUAAUUUCUGCAGUCAGGCUUCUCUUUCGGUAACUAGAUUGACACUGGAUCAUCGGUUGGUUGGGGUGCCAUGGAUCCGGUAAGACCAUGUUGGAUUUGGUAUUUUUAGCUUACAAUAGUGUGCAUCAUGUGACUACAUAAGAGAUAUUGUAUCUCUGUUCUUCCUCGUAUUAUAGGUACGCUUAGCUUUCAGUGGGGCUUGUGUAGAUCAAUAAACAAUUGGGAUUAACUUCCAGGGUGUACACUACUAUUAUUAAUGUUUCUCUUUAACUAUUCUACAAAUUUUUUUGAGCCUGGAUUUCGGCCUUUUGUGGCAUGUAGAUGCAUUACAAUUUUGGCCAGAUUUGUGAGGCAACUUCAGUUUAAAUAAAAAGUGUCAUUUCUUGUUGUCCGAAGGAUCAACAAAAUUGGUAUCUAAACCAGCUCUUUAUUCCAAAGAUCAAGUGCAGUGUAUAGGUAUGCCAUUAGCUCUUCCAGCUCUUUCAAGUGAUCAUUCAUAUCAUUGUAUUCGUUGGAUUGUUUUUUUAAGGGUUUACUUUCCAGUGGAUCUGAUGUUUUCCAAGUUUCUCAAUCCUUCCAAGCUAGGGGAGCUUUUCCAUCACUCUGCUACUAACGCUCUACUUCAUCUUUCAAGAGCUUGCUCAUCUUUGCCUUUGCAUUUUACUGAUUUUACCUAACUGCUUUGGUGCUAUGUGUGUUCUUUGUUGGAGGUUGGGAGUUAAAGCAUGAGUCAAUCAAGGGGGAGGCCUGAAUAAAUGGUCAUAUCGAUGGUUGGAGCUGUCAUAUGAAUGAAAUGGAGUGCUAAAGUACAAUGGUAAUAAAAUCAUGAAAAUGAGGAGAGUUCUCUACAAUCAUGGUGAUGUAGUCUAUUGAUUGUACUUGCUCCUGUUCACAUGGUUGAAUCACACUUUCCCUUAGUUGGUCUUCAAGAUUUGAUUAAUAAUAUCAGUCACCUUUGUCGGAUUGUGCUGAGUUGUUUGGUCUUCAUCUUUUCUUUGCAGCGGAGUGAUAAAGAUGGUCUGUUAGCACCUGGCUGUCAGGACUUGGUGUAGAUAAGGGCUAAUUCCUUAAUAACUAUCCAUUCUUCUCUUUCUACCUUCCAAGCUAAUUGUUGUUACAUUUUUCGCUUGUUUUGAAGGUUUAUGAAUGUUGGCCAUAGCAAUUUCGUUGAAGAGAGUUUGUUCUUAGUUACCUAACAAUUCUUCUAGUUUCUACCGUCGUCUUCUAGUUUCUACCAUUCAAGUUAUUGUUGUCACAUUACUCUCUGCAUUAUUGGCAGGCUUCUCGUAAAGGUCAUGUACUGAAAGUUGAUAGCCGUACUUCAGCUCGAAGGGAGUUUUUACUCGAUUACCAAAUAAUGACAUCAAAUCCUUCUUAGGUUGCUGGUUUAAUUCUAUUUUCACUAGCUGAUUGUGGCAUCAUCAAUAGUGUAUGCUUUCUUCUCCGUAUCAUGUCUAGUUAUUUAAAUUCUUGUUUUUGUGAUUUCCUUGGAGUUCUAUGCUAUUAUGUACCUAAUGGCAUGUGCAAUAUCUAAUAUGGUGCUUGGCAGAGCUGUGGUCAUGAUUUGGACAUGAUCCGGUUUAGUUUGGGCUGAGGGGGAAAAUUGAAUGGAAUUAGUUAAAUUGGUUUAACAAAAAUGAAUGCCAAAAUCAAAUUGAAAGGAGCUAACACACAGUCAAACCACUUUGAUUUAA
This 67355-nucleotide long non-coding RNA is filed under the name Ananas comosus (pineapple). RNAcentral's name for it is "long non-coding RNA (ACOM_LNC022609)". The record is from RNAcentral. Lineage: Eukaryota; Viridiplantae; Streptophyta; Magnoliopsida; Poales; Bromeliaceae.